RNAcentral lists this long non-coding RNA (65799 nucleotides) under Triticum aestivum (bread wheat). Its description in RNAcentral is "long non-coding RNA (TAES_LNC012360)". The stretch from base 46374 to 46460 matches the Rfam family "MIR1120/MIR1122 microRNA precursor family". The record is from RNAcentral. Lineage: Eukaryota; Viridiplantae; Streptophyta; Magnoliopsida; Poales; Poaceae.
CAACCUCAACUAUACAAUGACUAGGAGGUGGGCCGGACUAUACAAUAUACAUGCACGAACCAUAUAUUCAACACCCCCCCCCCCCACGCAGUCAAAGCGUCGCCGGAGACGCAAAGACUGGACCUAAACUCCUCGAAAACAGAAGUAGGCAGUCCUUUUGUCAUAACAUCGGCAAACUAUUGCGCCGUCGGGACGUGGAGGACCCGGAUGCGCCCAAGGGCCUCCUGCUCACGAACAAAGUGUAUGUCGAGCUCAAUGUGCUUCGUUCGUCGAUGGUGGACCGGGUUGGCGGAGAGGUACACGGCGGAGACGUUGUCGCAGUAGACGAGCGUGUCCUUGUGAACAUCACAAAGCAACUCCUGGAGCAGCUGACGAAGCCAAGAGCAUUCGGCAACGGCGUUAGCCACUGCCCGAUACUCUGCCUCGGCACUCGAGCGGGAGACUGUGGGCUGUCACUUGGAAGACCAAGAGAUCAGAGACGGCCCAAGGUAGACACAAUACCCCGAAGUGGAGCGUCGUGUGUCCAGGCAGCCAGCCCAGUCCGCAUCAGAGUAGGCGACGAGGUCGGUGGAGGCGGAGGCCGUCAGUGUAAGUCCCAUGGACGGGGUGCCGCGUAUGUAACGGAGGAUAUGCUUCACCAAGGUCCAGUGAGAGUCACGCGGAGCAUGCAUGUGAAGACAGACCUGCUGAACGGCAUACUGCAAGUCAGGGCGCGUCAGAGUAAGGUACUGCAAAGCACCCACAAUGGAGCGAUAGAAGGCCGCGUCGGAUGCGGGAGAGCCCUACAGAGCUGAAACCUUGGCCUUGGUGUCAACACGCGUGGGAGCGGGCUUGCAGUUAAGCAUGCCAGCACGAUCGAGAAGCUCAUGGGCGUAACGCUGCUGGUGCAGAAAGAACCCAUCUGGCCGUCGAACCACCUCAAUGCCGAGGAAAUAGUGGAGGGGCCCCAAGUCCUUCAGGGCAAACUCAUCGCGAAGGCGAGCAGUAAGCCGCUGGAGGAGCGCUACAGUGGAUGCCGUCAGGAUGAUGUCGUCGGCGUAGAGCAACAAGUAGGCCGUGUCAACCCCGUGAUGGUACACGAAGAGGGACACGUCGGAGCGAGUCGAUGUAAAUUUGAGCGUCUGCAGGAAGGCAGCGAUGCGUUGGUACCAGGCCCGAGGCGUCUGCUUCAACCCGUAAAGAGAACGGGAGAGCAAGCACACAUGGUCCGGAUGUGUGGCGUCGACGAAGCCGGUGGGCUGCUCACAGAACACCUGCUCGGCGAGGUGGCCGUGCAAGAAGGCGUUGGAGACGUCCAACUGAUGCACAGGCCAAGCUCGGGAGAUGGCCAGCUGAAGCACGGUGCAGAUCGUGCCCGGUUUAACAAUCGGGGCAAAAGUGUCGGUGAAGUCCAUGCCCGCACGUUGCCGAAAGCCUCGAACCAUCCAGCGAGCUUUGUAGCGCUCGAGAGUGCCAUCCGGACGAGUCUUGUGCCGAAAGACCCACUUGCCCGUGAUGAUGUUGGCACGAGGCGGCCGAGGGACAAGCUGCCAGGUACGGUUCCGUUGGAGCGCGUCGAACUGUUCCUGCAUCGCAGCGAGCCAAUGAGGAUCCGGAAGGGUGGCUCGAGCUGACGAUGGGAGAGGGGACGACUCGAAGAUGGAAGCAGCGAGAAGAUACUCAUCGCUGGUGUACUGCGUACUCGGGCGUAAGGUGCCAGCCCGAGAGCGAGUCAUCGGGCNNNNNNNNNNNNNNNNNNNNNNNNNNNNNNNNNNNNNNNNNNNNNNNNNNNNNNNNNNNNNNNNNNNNNNNNNNNNNNNNNNNNNNNNNNNNNNNNNNNNNNNNNNNNNNNNNNNNNNNNNNNNNNNNNNNNNNNNNNNNNNNNNNNNNNNNNNNNNNNNNNNNNNNNNNNNNNNNNNNNNNNNNNNNNNNNNNNNNNNNNNNNNNNNNNNNNNNNNNNNNNNNNNNNNNNNNNNNNNNNNNNNNNNNNNNNNNNNNNNCGAAGACGAAGAAGAGCCCGCCACCGCCGAUGCCAUGGGCAAGACCGCGGGCGAGGCCGCGGGCGAAACCGCCGCGGGUGUGGUCGCGGGCAAGGCCGCAGGCGAGGGCGCGGGGAGCGCCGAGGAGGCCCGCGCGGCAGCCGGGGAGGCCGAUGGCGGCGCAGGGGAUGUCGCGGGCGCCGGGAGGGGUGCAGCCCCUAAGGCAGCCAGCCGGGGAGGAACUCGACCCGUGGCGCGGGGGGCACCCUCAAAGCCGGGAGGCGGCCCGAGAGAAGCUCGCGAGCGGCCGUCACCUGGAGCGGGCAAGGCCGCAACAUCCGAAGGUACCUGCUGAAACGGAAAAACCAUCUCAUCAAAGUAAAUGUGUCGGGAGGUGAUCACCCGAUGUGAGAUAGGAUCAUAGCAGCGGUAGCCUUUGGUGUUGGGGGGAUAGCCAAGAAAAAUACAUGCCACGGACCGUGGUGCGAGCUUAUGAGUAGUGGAAGCGAUGCUAGGGUAGCACAGGCAACCGAAGAUGCGGAGCUCGGUGAAGGAAGGUGGCGUGCCGAACAAAAGAUGAUGAGGAGUAAAAUUCCCGCGAGUGCGACAGGGACGGAUGUUGAGGAGUAGUGAUGCGGUGGCGAGCGCGUCGGGCCAGAAACGUGGUGGCACGUUGGCGUGAAAGAGGAGGGUGCGAACGCAGUCAUUAAGAGUGCAAAGCACGCGCUCAGCGCGGCCAUUUUGUUGCGAAGUGUACGGGCAAGUGAGACGAAAAAUCGUGCCGUGUGUGGCGAGAAGAUUGCGGAUCGCAAGAUUAUUGAACUCCUUCCCGUUGUCUGUUUGCAACGCAUGAAUGGGGCGACCAAACUGCAUGGAGACAUAGGAGUAGAAUGCGGAGAGAGUGGCAACAGAAUCCGACUUUCGCCGCAACGGGAAGGUCCACAAAUAGUGCGAAAAAUCAUCAAGUAUAACAAGAUAAUAAAGAUAGCCCGUGUUACUUGCAACAGGAGAGGUCCAAACAUCACUAUAAAUUAACUCAAAUGGGUAUGAUGCAACAUGGGAGGAAGUGCUAAAGGGUAAACGAACAUGUUUACCGAGACGACAAGCAUGACAAGUGUGAUCGUCGAUCUUAUUACAUGUGAAAGAAAAACUACGAAGAAUAUGACGAAGGGUGGCGGUGUUGGGAUGACCGAGACGAGCAUGCCAAAGGUCCACUCCGGCGGAAAGCGCCAUGGGUGCAGCGACAGAGGAUGUGGAUGAGUGGACCGGGUAGAGCUCGUCGGGGUUGUCACAUCGGUGGAGCAUCAUCCGGGUACGGGCAUCCUUAACAGAAAAGCCAAACAUGUCAAAUUCAACGGUGACAGGAUUUUCACGUGUAAGAGAACGAACGGAAACUAGAUUUUUAAUGAUGUCAGGUGAAACGAGUACGUUAGAAAGAUAUAAUGGCAUGGAGUUAGACGGAAAAGCAGCAUGGCCGACAUUAGUGAUAGGCAUGGAGGAACCGUCGCCCACGGUAAUACGAGCAGCGGUGUGAACGGGGUGAGCGGUAAGAAGGUUACCGGGAUUGGCGGCCAUGUGAGCCGUGGCUCCGGUGUCCAUAUACCAGUCACCACCGCCAGUGUACUGAUGUGGCGUGGGGGCGGUGUGGAGGGCCGCUAGCAGCGCGGGGUCCCAAGGCGCCGGCAGGAGGGCCGGGGCCGACGGCAGCGGCUGUGGCGGCAGCGGCGCGAACCCACCGGCUGAAGGCAGCCCAUAGGCCGCCGAGGGGCCGUAGAGCGGCGCCGGCUGAUACGACUGAGGGGCCGCAUACAGAGCCUGAUGAGGGGCCGGGUGAGCGCCAAAAAAAACGGGGACGGGGGCACGCGGUAUAGGCAUGGAGUACGCGUGAACAACCCCCGUCCAGGGGUUCUGGCCGGCCUGCCAGGGCGCCGGCGGGAGCUGUUGCUGCGGCUGGCGCGGCGCCCCGCCGUGGGCAGAUAAUCGUUAACAGACGAGUCAAGCUGCUAGCACCCAAAAAACUCGCCGUGCAAGAAAACCUUGCGUUGGAGCGCGUUGUCGGUGAAGAGGCCGUUGAGCUUAGUCCAAACGGCGUGAGCGUCAUCAUCGGCGGAGACCACCAUGUGGAAGAGGUCCUUCGAGAUGGUGGUGUAGAAUCAGCGGAUGAGAGUGGUGUCGAUGGACGUCCACUCCUCAUCGUCCUCCAUGAAGCGGGAGUCCACGGAGCCAUCGAUGUGAUCCCGGAGAUUGUACUCACGGAACACAAGGGAGAAGUACGUCUUCCAGGCAUAGUAGGUGGAGGUGAGGUGGUCGAGGACGACGGGAACCCGAGCGAGGAUAUUGAGAUCGCGGAUGACGACGGGAUCGGGGCCUUCGAAGGGGUUGGUGCGGCGGCUGCGGGUGGUACCGAUGGAACCGGGGGAGGCCAUAGCCGAGAGGGGGGUGCGGCGGCGCGUGGUGAAGCGGCACAGCGAGGGGGAUGGCGGCGCGGCGGGUGGCGGCGCUGCGGGGUGCGGGCGGAAGCGCGAGGCGGCNNNNNNNNNNNNNNNNNNNNNNNNNNNNNNNNNNNNNNNNNNNNNNNNNNNNNNNNNNNNNNNNNNNNNNNNNNNNNNNNNNNNNNNNNNNNNNNNNNNNNNNNNNNNNNNNNNNNNNNNNNNNNNNNNNNNNNNNNNNNNNNNNNNNNNNNNNNNNNNNNNNNNNNNNNNNNNNNNNNNNNNNNNNNNNNNNNNNNNNNNNNNNNNNNNNNNNNNNNNNNNNNNNNNNNNNNNNNNNNNNNNNNNNNNNNNNNNNNNNNNNNNNNNNNNNNNNNNNNNNNNNNNNNNNNNNNNNNNNNNNNNNNNNNNNNNNNNNNNNNNNNNNNNNNNNNNNNNNNNNNNNNNNNNNNNNNNNNNNNNNNNNNNNNNNNNNNNNNNNNNNNNNNNNNNNNNNNNNNNNNNNNNNNNNNNNNNNNNNNNNNNNNNNNNNNNNNNNNNNNNNNNNNGCGGCGGCGGCGGUACGAAGUGGCGGCGGCGGCGGCGAUGGGAUCGCCACGGCGGCGGCGGCGGCAAGGGUUAGGGUUAGGAUCGUAGGUAUGAUACCAUGUUGGAAACGAAUAUUUUGGCAAUGCUACUCGAUGUAUUGAUCGGUGCAUAGUGCACGUAUAUAUGGAGUACAAGGUGGGCCAUAACCUCAAUUAUACAAUGACUAGGAGGUGGGCCGGGCUAUACAAUAUACAUGCACGAACCAUAUAUUCAACAAGGGCGACCCAGCUUCCCCGCUGCUAUUCAACUUUGUGGCCGAUGCCCUGGCUGCAAUGCUGGAUAGCGCUCGGAUGGCUGGUCAUCUAAGGGGGGUGGCCAACCAACUGGUGCCGGGCGGGGUUUCUCGUAUACAGUACGCAGACGACACGUUGCUGCUGUUUGAGCCGGACAGGCAUAACAUAGCUAUUGUCAAAGCUAUCCUGUUAAGCUUCGAGCUUAUGUCAGGCCUUAAAAUCAACUUUCACAAAAUGUGAAGUAAUCUCCAUGGGGAUGGGGACGGCUGAGGGUCAGGAAGUGGCAGAUUUGCUCAACUGCAAAUUGGGCUCUCUCCCAUUUCAGUACCUCGGGCUACCUAUAGGGGAUCGGUCUCCAACCAUUCAGGACUGGGCCCCCCAAUGCAAUACGGUAGCGGGUCAGGUUGGGCCGUGGCGGGGUAGAUUCAUGUCGUCAGGAGCACGGCUAAUCUUAACCAACUCCAGUCUAUCCUCGCUACCCAUGUUUACCAUGGGUCUGUUUUUGUUAGCCGAAGGCGUGCACUCCAAGCUCGAUAUGCCUCGGUCCCGCUUCUUUUGGGAAGGAGCCAGCCCUAAACGGAAGUACCACCUUGUCAAAUGGACAGUUGUGUGUCGUCCCAAGUCCCAGGGGGGAUUGGGAGUGAUGAACUCCAGGCUGAUGAACGUGGCGCUUAUGUGCAAAUGGAUCUGGAAGUUGUCCCAAGGCGAAUCAGGGCUCUUUGCAGACCUCCUCAAAGCCAAAUACUUCCUGACGGGCAAUUUCUUCGCGGCCAUAGGGAGGGGAUCUCCCUUCUGGAACUCCAUUCAGAAGCUUAAACCAAUCUUCGCCAUGGGAGCGAAGUUUUUGGUCAAGGACGGAUGCUCAACUCGUUUCUGGUUGGACUGAUGGAUCGGUGACCAACCUCUUUGGUCCAGGUUCAUAGACCUGUUUAACAUAGCGAUGGAGCCACGCAUCUUUGUGACUCAAGCUAUGGCUGCUUCCCCGCCGGUGUUGCUGUUCCGCCGCGAACUCACCGCCCCGGAGACGACAAGUUUGGGAAACUUGUUGACCCUUGUUGAGGGGGUGGUGUUAUCCCCUGGCCCGGACAUUGUUUCGUGGCACCUCAACGCCUCUGGCAAGUUCACUGUAAACUCCCUUUACCGCGCUCUCGCUAGGGGCCCCCACCAGCAGGUGGCUUCAGGGCUAUGGAAAGCUAGGAUGCCCCUUAGGCUUAAAGUUUUCCUCUGGCAGUUGUGUCAUGACAAACUUCCCACGUCCGUCAACAUAGCCAAACGCAACGGUCCGGCCAGUGGGCCGUGUGCGGUCUGUGGGGAGCCAGAAAGCGCUAACCAUGUCUUCUUCGAGUGCCACCUCGCCCGGUUCGCGUGGAGUGCGGUCCGCGAGGCCGCUGGCCGGGAUUGGGAUCCCAGCUCUAGUUCGGAGAUGUGUGCUCUAGUGUCGUCGGUCAGUGGCACCGCUCGGCGUGUCAUGUGGUGUUGCGUAGGGGCGUUACUCUGGGCACUUUGGCACAUUAGAAACAACAUAUCGAGGGUGUCUUCCCCUCUCAUCCUGCUGACGUAAUCUUCAAAUGUGUCAUUUUCUUGCAGCAGUGGGCGCAUUUGGGAAGGCGCCAAGACAUUGAUCUUCUGCAGCUCGCUCUUGCCCGUCUUCGCCAGGUCUACGCUUUGGCAAGAGCUCCUGCACCGCCCCCCUAGGGAAGUGUGGCUCCUUUUGGCAUCAUCUUCGCGAGCCUGCGUGCUCUGGUCCAGCCGGCUUAGGCUUGUAAUCCAAAACUUUCCCUCACCUUGCUCGCGUGUCAAUCGUUGAAGAACUACACAAGGCCCGAAAUCCAAACUGUCGUCCGCUAUGGCUAUCCGGUGAUGUCAGUCCGCCUACGUCGACAUCCAAACCUGCUAUGUCUAAUCGGUUUUGGAAGACCCAGAGAUCUCGCACGCCCAAAAGAAAUAUUGGUUUGGUCGCACCCACGAUAGAAUCAUCAUAAUCUAACGGCAUCUCCUACAAUUAUGUGGCACGUCUGACAACUCCCAUUGACCCGUCCCUGAGCCACGGCUCAGAUGGAAAAGCUGCUGGACACACUCACAUGCACUAUGGAACAGGCGUCCCGAGCUACAGAAAUGGCCCACUGUACUGCACUGUACCAUCCAGUAUAUUGCACAUAUCUAAUUUUCCAACGCACAAGUUCUGACAUGCCAGUGGGAUUUUCUAACAUCCCAAUGCACCAUUCAACGCCCAAGAUUUCAGGUCAGCUGGACCUGGGCACCGAAACGCCCUUUCGGUUUAGAUCACUAGUUGAUAAUUCUCAUCAGACAAACUAACUUGUUAACUCUCAGCUGGGAAUCACAGGGUUAGGUUCUGCAGCUGCGUAUCAAGCCAAAGGGAUAGCAGCCCACUGCCGUGCUAAAUGUUCAGUCGUGGUUGUAAACAGCUAAAGGUCAAUGGCUCAAGCCCAGAUUGGUUUGGCAGGAAAUCAGACCCUAUGGUGACUGAUAUCUACCCACUGCAAUGCUGAGUGUUCCGCCCCAGUUUAAAUUAGCCAGGUAUGUACGCCGUUGCUGGCUAGCUGGUGGCUGCCACUUCCCCUUCCUGCAUCAAUCAGGACAAGAUUGAUUCCACACGUUUCAAAAGGAUCAAAUAUAUUUCCAGACAUUUGAGUGGCGACAAACUAAUUGAUAAGAUGAUCAAUUUUGAUUUUUUCAAAGCAACGUUAAUCUAGUAUGGUCAUGGUUACCUAACAUCUUAACAUGUGCAGAGCUAGCCAAUGCAGAGCUGUAAUCGUACUACUUAGUCUAGGCAUGCUUGUGUUUGCGAAUGACCACUGGUUACUCAUCCAACAACCGGACCAAGAUCUCUAACCAGUGGAUGCUGUUGAAGGAGAUAAGGAUAUUUUGCUUCACUUGACUUGGCCGCACACAGAUGUAGCUCGAUUCGUUUCAGGCAUGACUAGUGUGUGAAUGGGUUGUUGUCGCCGCUCUUACUCGCUCACAGCAACGGUCGUUAGUAGAUGGAUGUACUGGGCCUGAUAUCUUACUUGACUUGUCUUCAUUUCCGUGGAUGCGCAGAGACAGCUGCGAUGCCACUGAAGCGUGACAGGGCGGGCUCUCUCUUGCGCGCUCGGCAAGUCAGUGGUUGGUUGGUCACUGUAGUAUAUGGGCAGCUACUCGACCUAGCUAGGUGGUGGUGGAGCAAUGAACCCUAAACCCUAAACCUUUGCCCGCCUUACCGCCUCCGGCUGCUCUCAGCGAGGAGCUCGGAGGAGACCUUGUUGUCUAGACCAUCUGCCAUGGAAGUGAUCUAGAAGGGAGUUUAGAAGAGAAUGCAAAAUAUGUGUGGGAACGAGCGAGCUCCCAAAAAAUGCUCGCUCCUCUCACGUGUGUGGCCGUCAGCGCACAACAACCUACGCGGCGGCGGCGGCGAGGGCUGGGGAUUUAUCGCGUGGGGAACAGCCGGAGAGGCCAAUCGUCUAUUUUUUUUCAAAGUAAUUAAUUUGAUAAAAAUAUAUCCUUUUUUUGGGAAUAGAUAAAAAAUGUAUCCUAACGCUGAGAUGAACCAAACUCAAAUUUAUCACAUUUCAAUUUUCGAAAAACAAUUUUAGAAUGAACCGGUUAUUGCUGCAUCCACACAUCGUGCGGCAACACAUAUCUCAGAGCAUAUGUGUCUUCCUCUUUGAAACAUUUUACGCACCAAGUCUUUGUGCUCCUCGUCGACAGCCAAGGUGCGAAAGGUCAUGACCGUGACUUCAACGACAGCUAAGAUGCGGACGAUGCCGCCCUUGACCAGCAGGUGGAGCGUAGGAAUGCGGCGCCAUUGACUUGUAGUCCGGUGGCGCAUACACAGGCUCCCGCUUCACAAAGAGAGUGGCGCGGCGAAUGGAAUCAUACCACCAAAGAGCGAGAUGGCCUGCAGGGCUGGAGGCGAGAAGAUACAUGCAUUUGUUUUCCUCCAAUAGUUUAGAUGACUUGAGAUGGAUACAAAACUGAAUUCAUAUCACACUCAUAUUGGCAUCCCAGGAGCGUGGAGUAUAUAUAGGACUCCUAUACAUCUCUUGUCUAUGAUACUAGCUCUUUUAGGAAGAAAAAAUAAAUUGCAAGCAUGGGAUAUGUGUUGAGCAAGUCAUUAAAAAUGUUUCAUUUUAUCAUGUGACUGGACCAUGGAAUCAUUGAUCAUCCCGCUUGCAUGUUUGUGUUAGCAUCCAAUGACAUGGUAAAAGAACAUACUAUACAUGGUACUCUCAUAUGUACCAUCACUCCAAGUGCGCCGCAUCAUGAAAGUCGAGUUAAUUGCAUACAAGUACCAUAAUUGGGGCAUCACAUGCAGAUUGGUACCACGAUUGCUAAUUUUUGCGUGUCAGUAUCAACAUUGCUCUAGAUUUUUGCAAAUAGGUCUAAACUGCGUAUAAACACGUAUUGACGGUGUAUCUGACUAGCGGGGCCCGCCCGUCAGGUGCCGACGUGGCAUGUUUUUUGCAGAAAACCCCCGCCCUCGCCCUCGCCCUCUCGCUCCGCGCCCGCCUCGCCGCCCUCGCCCUCGCCCUCUCCCCGUGGCGGCCUCCUACCUCAGCCGGCGCUUGUCCGACCUGUCCAGCCACCCCUGCUUCGCCCGGAACGCGCUCUGCCGCGAGCUGCUGCACUCCGUGGCCGCCACGCUCGCCGACGCGGCCGAGCUCGCCGCGCGGUGCCGCGGCCCGCCCAGGGACGGGAAGCUGCAGACGCAGAGCGCCAUCGACGCGCUCGGCGCCCGGCUCGACGUCAACCUCCGCGACUGCGCGCUGCUCGUCCGGACCGGCGUGCUCUCCGACUCCGACGCGUCCGCCGUCGCCGCCCCGGCGACGGCGCAGGCGGACGUGCGGGAGCUGCUCGCGCGGCUGCAGAUCGGGCACGCCGAGGCCAAGACCCAGGCAGUGGACGGGCUCCUCGACGCGCUCAACCGGGACGAGAAGAGCGUGGUGUCGGUGCUCGGCCGCGCCAACUUGUCCGCGCUGGUGCAGCUGCUCACGGCGCCGGCGCCCAAGGCGCGGGAGAAGGCCGCCAUGGUGAUAUGCCGGCUCGCGGAGUCGGGAGGUGGCGCCUGCGAGGGGCUGCUCGUGUCGGAGGGCGCGCUUCCGCCGCUCAUCCGGCUGGCCGAGUCCGGCAGCAGCCUCGUCGGCCGUGAGAAGGCCGUGCUCACGCUGCAGCGCCUCUCCGCGUCCCCCGACGUCGCACGCGCCAUCGCCGGCCACGGGGGACUCCGUGUCCCAGUCCGCGGCGGCCGGCGCGCUCAAGAACCUCUCCGCGGCGCCCGAGGCGCGGCAAGCGCUGGCCGACGAAGGCAUUGUCCGCGUCAUGGUCAACCUGCUGGACUACGGCACCGUGCUGGGCUCCAAGGAGCACGCCGCCGACUGCCUGCAGAACCUCACAUCGGGCGGCGACAGCUUCCGGCGCUCCGUCGCGCACGACGGCGGGCUGCGCAGCCUGCUCCUCUACCUGGACGUGCCGUCGCCGCAGGAGUCCGCGGUGCGCGCGCUCGGGAACAUGGUGGACGCCAUCUCGCCCGACACCAUCGUGUCCCUCGGCGUGCUCCCGCGGCUGGCGCACGCGCUCAGAGCCGGGUCACCCGGCGCGCAGCAGGCUGCAGCAACGGCCAUAUGCAGGAUGUCCGCCAGCGGCAGCAGGGACAUGAAGCGGCUGGUGGGCGAGCACGGCUGCAUCCCGCUGCUGGUGCGGAUGCUGGACGCCAAGUCGGCCGGCGCGCGCGGGGCGGCGGAGCAGGCGGUGGCGAGCCUGGCGGCGGGGCACCCGGGCAACGCGCGGGAGGUGCGGAGGGACGAGAGGAGCGUGCUGAGCCUGGUGCAGCUGCUGGAGCCGAGCCCGGCGAACACGGCGAAGAAGACGGUGAAGGCCAGCUGCGUGGACACGGGCACGAACGACAGCCCGUACGCGUACAGGAAGUCGUCGGCGCCGGUCGCCAGCCCGAGCCCCGCAGCGGCGAGCAGUAUCCUCGGCGGGGUCAGCACCACUGGCGCGCUGGGGUCGUGCGCGCGCCGGCUGAGGUAGGAGGCCGCCACGGGGAGAGGGCGAGGGCGAGGGCGGCGAGGCGGGCGCGGAGCGAGAGGGCGAGGGCGAGGGCGGGGGGUUUUCUGCAAAAAAACAUGCCACGUCGGCACCUGACGGGCGGGCCCCGCUAGUCAGAUACACCGUCAAUACGUGUUUAUACGCAGUUUAGACCUAUUUGCAAAAAUCUAGAGCAAUGUUGGUACUGACACGCAAAAAUUAGCAAUCGUGAUACCAAUCUGCAUGUGAUGCCCCAAUUGUGGUACUUCUGUGCAAUUAACUCCAUGAAAGUCACCUGAAACAUGAGAACUGGUUCAUUUUAGCUAUCUUUUCAGUUCUGUGUGAAGAAUAUCAUAUCAUCCGUGUGAUGGUAUUCUAUACCUAGUAAUGAAGCAAGGUGCGUUUCUUCAAUUUUUUCAUCCGUUCAUCUUCAAAAGUACUUUUUGUUUCUAUCCGAGGUGGUACUAAACUUUUAUGCAUCUAUCCGCUAGGAAAGAAAAAAGGUUUGUCCAGAAUUCCGUAAUUGGGCCGCGCACGCUCCGGCCCAAUGAAGCCAACGCACUUAUUAUUGCCCACGUAGUUGGGAAGACCUUAUUUGUUGUAUUGAGCGAUGAAUAGUUGAAGCUGCCCACAGGACGCCUAAAACUGGGUCGGCCCGUUAACUAUUAUAAAAAAUCAUGUUUUGAAAUUUUCUCAUUUUUUAAUUUUUUUUGUGUUUUUCAAAAUUUCUUAGAUAUUUUUUAAUAAAAACUACAUUUUAUAAAGUGUUCCAUAUAUAAAACUAUUCCUGUUUUACUGACAUGUUCACAAAAAAUAUAAAAUAAUAUUUUUGUCUAAGAAAACAUUUUCUAGAAUUGUUUUGAAUGUUCCCCUUUUAAAAAGAUAAAACAAUUCAAAAAUAUUUGUGUGUUUAUAAAAUUAUCAUGUUUUCAAAAUAUUGUUUAUGAAUUUCAGAAACUAUUAAUGUUUCUAAUUUUUGUGUUUUUCCAAAAAUAUUGGAUCUUUCAAAAAAAAUUGUCGCAUCUUUUGAAAAUUGUUUGGGAUUUAUUAAAUUGUUCACGUUUCCAAGAAUAUUCGCCAAUUCAUAUUUACGUUGAAUGUUCAAAAAAAACUAAGAAAUAUUUCUAAUAUUACGCUAUAGUAUUUUCUUUAAUAUUUGCGCUCGCCAUUGGUUGGCGGUGCAUGGUCGUUCUGUGCUGGUUGACUAUAAAUGAAAGAAAUUAUGGGCACAUGCCAAUAAAAGAGAAUAUGUUGUUUGGCUUUAAUUAGAGUAAAAUAAUGGGCACUUGAGCACUAAAAUAAUCAAAGAGAAUAAACCCUCAAACAGAAGGCCCCUGGGAUGCCCUUUGGCAGGUCUCAGCUCUAGGCCCCCAAGACCACGGCUCACACAAUGUUGGUACCACCACACAUGUUGAACCAAUAGAUGUUGGUAUUUUGAUCUUGCUCUGUUGACCAGGAGUACGAUGUAAUGUAUGUAGGUGUCUUCAGGAUCAGUGGCAAAAUAUGCCGAGAAGAACGUGUGCACGGUGAGUUAAAAGAUUCAGAUAUGGUCUUUUUUUUAAUCUCUGUAGUUCUCCUUGUGCUGUUUCUCAUAGAUUUUUCAGUUUUACCUUUGUUCCCAUAUGGCUGCAAGCACCCUUAAUCGCAAAAGCUAGCUACAUCGAUGCGCCGCCGCCGAGGACAACGCCCGGCCCGCAACCGAGGUCUUCCACAUAUAGGAUUUGUGGAACAGCAGGGGCAGCACUACGACAGCUACUGUCUUGCUGCAGUGAUGCGGGCUGGAGCGAGCUGGGUUGCACGCGGUGACGAGAGCAUUGUAUAUGUCCGUUCCUCCACCUUCAACAUGUCGAUUGCAGGUGAGGACUUCUUCUUUUUUCCUUCUCCCUUUUUUCAUGCAAGUGUAGAACUUAUUGUACGAUUUAGUUUUUGCCUACAUAUAGAUGAUUCAGAUGUUAACGUUGAAGAAAAGAUCGACAUUGGUAUCCCCAGAAUAUUGCAGGAGGGCGUGUGUGCUCAUCUAAAAAAUAUGAUUACCUAAAUAGCUAAUAGUUAAUUCUACCUUUGUGAAUUUGCAGAAUGUUGAAUGCUAUUGGGUGGCAUUUCUCAUCAUGACAUUUAAUUAGAGGAUAUUUGUUAUCAAGCGACGUCAAUGUCUCGGGUAUAGAUAGUUCUGUUUUGAGGAAGAUGAUGUGCAACCACUGAAGAAAAUAUAUUAGGAUGGAACUCCAAUGAUUUUGUGGAUCACUAUGUAUAGUUUUUUGUGGCCUAUAAAGCAGAGGUCCGGCGUGUCAAAACAGAAGUUUCCAUGACUUGCUACUUUAUAAAAUUUAGGCGCCCCUAUAGUGUUGUUGAUGAAUUGAAUUUUUUCACCCAAAAAGGUUGAAAUCAACUGCUUUGCAUACACAAUUAAAUAGUGAGUAUCACGUUUUAUUAGCAAAAUUUAAUAGUUCAUACACAAUUAGGAAGUAGAAUUGUAAAGAUAAGGUCAGAGGCAUACCAACACAAUGCUCUGUUUAGUGAAGCUACAAAACCCACCAUCAUAACUGAUAAUUCCGUGCUGUACUGCUUGGUGAAUAUUUAUUCUGUUUCAGUGCUGACUAAUUGGCCCUUUGCUGAUCGAUAUGGUUCCCUUUGAAUGGCAUGAAGGAGGAAUAAGGGUUGCUUCUCACUCCCUUUUGGUCUGUUCUAGCGUGGAUGGAGGGUGACCCAGGCCUGUCCGACCAAAGGUGGCCGGUGAGCCUCUUGGUCUGUGCAGGUAAAAUUUCUCACUCCCUUUUAUCUUUUCGCGACUUCUUCUUUUGGGGCCUGCUGAAUUAGUUUGCUUGGUGCAAUUGAGAAAAUAAGAUGACCUGAUGAGGUGAGAAAAAAACAUGCAAUGGGGGCAUGCCGAAUUGGUGGAGUUGAAGCAUGUGUCCUGCUUACACCAUCUUAGGAACAUGGCAGAGGAAGGUGUUGAUUAAUUGGUAGGCAAAUUAAGCGUUUCAUGGGAAUCCUCGGUUAAUCUAACAUGAAGGAUGGAGCGUUUCUAUGGUUGUGAAGUUUUCUCGUAGCAAGUUGAAUGAAGAGCAUUUACGUCUAACAUAAAGCUUCAUAUAAUGGAUCAUGUUUGCCCUGUCCAGUUACUUAACUUCUAAUAACAUUGGGCCUGUAAGGAAGUGCUUAUCUUAUAAGUAAAUAUACUCGUGCUUGAUUUGCAUUGUUGAUUGACAAUAUGGUCUGUACUGAACCAUUAAAAAUACCUGGCUUCCUGACCUCAGACCCAAAAUAUGCUCUCUGUUGCUAUUGUUUUUCCCAAUUAAUUGUACAAUUACUCCUUUUAUUUAGUGAUGUAUUCCUCAUAUGCUUAACUAUCUCUUUUUUUGACAUUGAAGAUCAUUUAGAGUAAUUCAUUUUCGUACAUCCUGAAAUUCAGCGAAUGGACAUCAAAUAUAUUACAUUAGAUGAUGGGGGGAAACUGUAGUUGCAGUGCUUCACUUCUGCAACAAUGGACUCCCCGAAGUGCCAACACCUUUACAUGGAUAUUCAGGAUAUUUUUGAAGGUUAGAAUAUGAAAGUAGAACAACAAGUUCCAUUACUUUGGGAAAAGUGCCCGGCCCUGAAUGAUGCCUUAAUGCGACCUUUAAGUUUCAGGUACAUCAUUCUAUUCUUCUCUAUUGCGCCAUGUGCUCCACACGUGUACCUUAUGAUUCAGGAGUUUCCGGUGACAAAAUGUGUUAUAUUUGUAGAGUCGAUGCUUUAGGAGAUGGAAGAGCAGCUGCCCACGCAAUGGUUUCCAGUUAUAAACCAAGCUGUUUAAAAAUGAUCAAGUAAAGAAAGAAAUAUUUCAUGAUUGUACCUAUUUCCUUUGUGGGAUUUAAAGGGUUACUAGCUAGCUACAAUUGGACACUUCAUUUGUUUGCUUUUGAACUAAGUUUGAUAAGGCCUAUGAAGUCCUGUAAAAAGGAUUCUUAUGAUAAGCGUGGAAAGCAACUUCUGAACUUUUAUGUAGAUAUUUAAGUGCCAAUGCCAUAUUUUGUUAUAACACAGGAAACCCAACUUUUGAGGCCACCGAUUUACCUUGGAUGUUGCAUGUGAAUUACUUUAGCUAAUUGUCUUGCCGUCGAGCUUUUAGUUGAAGUUCACUGAAUUUCUUGUAAUGACAUUUCAGCUAUUAUACGAUCGACCCAAUUGUUAGCUUUAUGAUGCUUUUUGGAGUCGACUCUGUUAAACAUAUAAGGUUCAGGUUCAGCGCAUAGUGCAACAUUGUAACGUGGUAGAUCUCUUGGAGAUAUUCUGGUAGUUUGUUGGCCUAGGUAACUAGCUUAACCGUGGCUAACUCUAUCUCUCUCUUUCUUCUUCUCCAAGAUGUACUCUAUCUCCUGUAUGCGCUACAGGGAUCUGCGCCCCUGCCUAUAAACAUGAACCACGUUCCCUCGUACAGAGGUAAGACGUUUAUCGCAUCUUCACAUGGUAACCAGAGCCUCCUUCUUCCACAACAUCUAGCAUCCAUCAAACCCUAGCUCCAACCAUGUCGUCUUCCGCUGUCGCUCUUGUACCCACCAUCCAUGGUCAGGUAACAGAGAAGCUCACCAGGACGAACUAUGUCCUCUGGCGUGCUCAGAUCAUGCCCCAGCUCAUCGGCGCUGGCCUGUUUGGCUACGUCGACGGAUCCAUCAAGGAACCAGAGAAGUUCCUCGUCACCAAGGAUAAAGAUGGCAAGGAGGAAGCCGUCCCGAACCCUCUACACCAAGUCUGGGUAAGGGAAGAUUAGCAGGUACUUGGUCAUCUAUUGAUCAAUCUCUCUCGAGAAGUUCUUAUCCAGGUGACUUCGAUCCGCAAGGCGCAUGAGCUCUGGACUGCUGUGGCGAGCAUGUUCUCGUCCCAGUCCCGAUCUCGCAUCAACAACAUCAGGAUCGCCCUCUCCAAUGCGCAGAAGGGCACGCAAACGGUGGGCGCCUACUUCGCCCACAUCCGCUCCCUCGCCGACGAACUGGCGGCCGCUGGCAAGCCGCUAGAUGACGAUGAAGUCAUCUCCUACAUCCUGGCAGGGCUGGACAUGGAGUACCAGCCGCUGGUGUCGGCACUCGACGCCCGAAAAGAACCGAUCACGAUCGAUGAUCUGUUCGCUCAAGUAAGCAACCUCGACCAGCGCAUUGCUAUGUUCCAUGGUGCUGGCAACAACGCCGGGUUCAAGAGCUCCGCCAACGCCGCCAUUCGUGGUGGUCGUGGUGGCUCACGCGGCUACCGUGGCCCUCCGCGCAACAAGGGAAAGAACAGCGGCGGCGGCAGCAGCAACUCCAACAACAGCGCCUCUCGUGGGCGGCCCUCCUACACCAACAACAAGGGCCGUCACAACAACUCCAGGAGCCGCCCCGACGCUGUCAAGUGUCAAAUCUGCGGCAAGAUCGGUCACUCAGCAAGGGAAUGCUGGUACCGGUUUGAGGAGGAUGAAGGAGAAUCCUCGCAAGAUGAGAAGGUCGCUGGUGCUGCAGAAGCCUCAUAUGGGGUUGAUACAAACUGGUAUGUUGAUAGUGGCGCUACAAAUCACAUCACCGGUGAACUUGAAAAGGUGACUAUGCGGGAGAAGUACCGCGGCCAAGACCAGAUACAUACAGCAAGCGGAUCAGGUAUGAGGAUUAAACAUGUUGGUCAUUCAGUUUUUCAAACCCCUCACCGAAAGAUUCAUCUAAGAAAAAUCCUUCAUGUCCCUAGUGCAUCUAAAAAUCUACUCUUCGUUCAUCGUAUUGCCAUUGACAAUCAUGUCUUUCUCGAGUUUCACCCUUUUUUCUUUUUGAUCAAGGAUCAAGCAACGAGGAAGGUGCUCUACCGAGGUAGAUGUGUUCGCGGGCUUUACCCAUUGAUUCCGGAGUUUAGAAGAAUAAAUAAGCAAGCUUAUGGUGUCACCAAAAUCUCCUCGACAAGGUGGCAUGAUAGACUAGGGCAUGCAUCUUUUUCUUUAGUUGAACGAUUGCUUAGGAAGAAUAAGCUCCCAUAUGUUGGAGAGCAUAAUGUUGAAACAAUUUGUGAUUCUUGUCAAAAGGCUAAAAGCCAUCAAUUACCUUAUCCAAUUUCUACGAGUAUUUCUACCAAACCGUUGCAACUUAUUUUUUCUGAUGUUUGGGGUCCUGCUCCAAGUUUUGUUGGUAGGCAUACUUACUAUGUUAGCUUCAUUGAUGACUAUAGCAAGUAUUCUUGGAUCUAUUUACUCAAAAAAAGAUCCGAGGUCUUUCAAGUGUUUCACAACUUCCAAGCUCUCGUUGAACGAAAGUUUAAUAGCAAAAUCAUUGCCAUUCAAUCCGAUUGGGGAGGGGAAUAUGAAAAAUUAAACUCGUCCUUCCAAACUCUUGGCAUCUCUCACCAAGUUUCUUGUCCUCAUGCUCAUCAGCAGAAUGGAUCUGCCGAAAGAAAACAUAGGCACAUUGUUGAGGUUGGUCUAGCUCUCUUGGCUGGCGCAUCCAUGCCCCUCAAAUUUUGGGAUGAGGCUUUUCUUACCGUUGUUCAUAUCAUCAACAUGCUUCCUAGUCUUGUCAUCAAUCAUGAAACACCGAUAGAAAGGCUUCUUCGCAUCAAACCCGAUUAUACAUCACUUCGUGUUUUUGGGUGCGCAUGUUGGCCAAACCUUCGACCCUACAACAAUCGCAAACUUAUGUUUCGCUCGGAACAGUGUGUCUUCUUGGGCUAUAGCCCUCAACAUAAAGGAGUUAAGUGCCUUGAUGUCUCCACUGGACGAGUCUAUAUCUCUAGAGAUGUCGUGUUUGACGAGACAAAAUUUCCCUUUGCUGAUCUACAUCCAAACACCGGUGCUCUUCUUCGCCAAGAAAUUCUCAUUUUGCCAUCACAUCUAGUAGGUGCCUCUGGGGAAGAUAACUGUAAUGAUCACAUGCCAACUAAUCCUCAUAACAGUUUGCUUGAGCUAUGUGAUGAUGCAGGACAAAACAGUGAAGCCAAUGGUGCUCACGGUGAUGAAAAUGGUGAAGAAACGGCUCCAAACGAGCCAUAUUUCAUGUGCAGGCCCUCGGGAGACAUAUCUCCUUCGGGAUCCGGGCCGCACCAGUCCUGCAGGCAAUCUCCUUCGGGAUUGACGCCCUCUGCACCUGCGCCUGACAACGACACGUCCGGCAGCGCCCGGGUCGCCCGCCCUGACUCGGCGGUGCGCCACGCCUCCGACCAAUCCGCGGGCGCUGAUGGCCCGCGCCAAUCUCCGGGCCCCACGCGGCAGCUGACGAGCCGCUUCCCCGAUCCGCCCACGUGCUACGCGCGGCGCCCGCGUCGGCCGUCCGGCUCGGGGCCCCAUGUGGUGGACCACCCGACAGGCGCUGGAUCUCGCAUGGAUCCUGAUGACGCUCCUGGUGGGAGCGAAUCUCCUGCUGCGGGCGGAUCCUCUGUGGCGGAUGGCGCCCCUUCAUCACCCGCUGAAGCCGCAGAAAAUCCUGCCUCUUCGUCAGAUCCCAGAAUAUCUGCCUCGGGAUCACCGGGGGAUACUGAUGUGGAUUUUUCUGCUGCAGACCCCGGAUCUUCUGUGCAGCAAACUGCUGCUGCUUCACCAUCCAUGCCACGCACACGUCUACAAAAAGGGGUAUUGCAACCUGUCAAUUAUAAAAAGGUACUUAAGUUUGGCUUAGCUUGCUCUACAGGUGAACCACAAACGCUUGAUGAGGCAUUAGGUGACACAAAGUGGAAGCAAGCUAUGGAAGAAGAGUACAGAGCACUCCAGAAAAACAAGACAUGGCAUCUAGUUCCUUCACGGCAAGGUCAAAAUCUCAUUGAUUGCAAGUGGGUAUUCAGAAUAAAAAGGAAGUCUGAUGGAACUAUUGAUCGAUAUAAGGCUAGACUUGUUGCCAAAGGAUUUAAGCAACGGUAUGGCAUAGACUAUGAGGACACCUUUAGUCCCGUUGUUAAAGCUGCCACCAUUCGUCUUGUUUUGUCUAUUGCUGUUUCCAGGGGAUGGAGUCUUAGACAGCUAGAUGUUCAGAACGCGUUCCUUCAUGGUGUUCUGGAAGAGGAAGUGUAUAUGAAGCAACCUCCUGGGUUUGAGAACAAAAACACACCUUUCCAUGUCUACAAGUUGGAUAAAGCUUUGUAUGGCCUUAAACAAACUCCUAGGGCAUGGUACUCCCAUCUCAGUCAAAAAUUACAAGCACUUGGUUUUGUUCCUUCCAAGUCUGACACAUCACUGUUCAUUUACAAUAAGUGCAACACAUCUAUCUUUGUGCUCAUUUAUGUUGACGAUAUUAUUGUUACAAGCUCAUCAAAUGAAGCAGUGACAGGACUGUUGAAAGAUCUUAGUGCUGAAUUUGCACUGAAGAAUCUAGGAGACUUGCAUUUUUUCCUAGGUAUUGAGGUAAGGAAACAAGGAAGUGAACUUCACCUAUCUCAGGAAAAAUAUGCUACUGAUCUUGUAAGAAGAGCUGGGCUACAGGGAUGCAAGCCAUCACCAACACCAAUGUCAAGUUCUGAAAAAAAUUCUCUUACAGAGGGAGAACUCCUGAAUCAGGAAGAUAGUACCAAGUACAGAAGCUUAGUUGGUGCACUCCAGUACUUGACUCUUACAAGACCAGAUAUUUCUUUUGCUGUGGACAAAGUUUGUCAGUUUCUUCAUGCUCCCACUACAGUUCAUUGGACUGCUGCAAAACGGAUAGUAAGAUAUGUCAAAGACACUGUUAAUGUUGGUCUUACGUUCUCCAAGUCUACUUCAACUCUUGUCAGUGCAUUCUCUGAUUCUGACUGGGCAGGAGAUAUUGAUGAUAGGCGCUCUACUGGUGGUUUUGCAGUAUUCUUUGGACCUAACCUUAUAUCUUGGUGUGCAAAGAAACAGGCUACAGUCUCAAGAUCAAGUACAGAAGCAGAAUACAAGGCUUUGGCUAAUGCAACAGCAGAAAUUACCUGGGUUCAGUCCAUGCUCAGAGAACUUGGAAUAAAACAUACUCAAGCUCCAUGUCUUUGGUGUGACAAUCUUGGUGCCACUUAUUUGUCUGCAAAUCAUGUGUUUCAUGCAAGAACAAAACAUAUUGAGAUUGACUUCCACUUUGUUCGAGAAAGGGUUGCUAGCAGGAAGCUUGAGAUCCGGUUUGUACAUUCCAGAGAUCAAGUUGCAGAUGGCUUCACCAAGGCAUUGCCUACAAGGAAUUUUGAAUUAUUCAAACGUAAUCUCAACUUAACAAAGUUGUGAUUAUGGGAGGGUGUUAAACAUAUAAGGUUCAGGUUCAGCGCAUAGUGCAACAUUGUAACGUGGUAGAUCUCUUGGAGAUAUUCUGGUAGUUUGUUGGCCUAGGUAACUAGCUUAACCGUGGCUAACUCUAUCUCUCUCUUUCUUCUUCUCCAAGAUGUACUCUAUCUCCUGUAUGCGCUACAGGGAUCUGCGCCCCUGCCUAUAAACAUGAACCACGUCCCCUCGUACAGAGGUAAGACGUUUAUCGCAUCUUCACAGACUCAUGAAGAUGAUGGCUAGCCUGCACGAACAUUUGUGGCUUCUGCAUAGAUGAUUCAGAUAGUCUACAAGAAAGGUAAAUAAUUAUAGGGGAUAGAUGUACGUUGCUCCCACAAUAUCCAGUUAUUGUCAGCAAACUUGCUUGUGGGCCAUGCCGACGAUGACAGGUGUAUGAAAAUGCAGCUCACCGACGGCGAUUGGAGCACCAACUUGGGUGACCCAGCUGUUUGACGCCGCCGGCUCGACCUACUUCGCUAGCAGCAUCGAGGAGGACGUGGAGCUCGUAGCCUCUUGAGCCCUCCGCGGGGCUCGUCUCGUCAGGCCGCCAUGGUUGCAGUAUAAAAAUCCUUACUGCCAUAUACAUGUCCCUUUUUUCCUCCCCGUCGCUUCCGCGGAUGAAAACCACAACAAACUCCUGCAAACACGCGAACAAUCGGCCAUGGCUUCCGCCCUCCGAGCCCCGCGAAGUCAUGUACAAUCUUACCGGCUGGCAUCAUCUACAAUCUUACCGGCUGGGAUCAUAUAGUUAUCAGAGUGUCACUUUUUGAUUUGGUACUGUCAUGUUUUUCAGCAGCCAUUAUAUAAUUAGCUGCUCAUCUUCCCACGUGCUGUUAUAGCCCUCCACAUAUCUGAAGGCAAAGAUGGUCCAUGAGUGUCCAUGUGAUGAAGAUCUUCAUGGCUAUUUCAAAAUAGACCUGAUGUUAGGUGAAAAUAUUCAUCGAUGGUUCAAUGAAGAUGCAUCAAAUUUCAAAAUAGAAUGCUAAUAAAUUACACCCUAGAGCAAUAUGAGAGUAUUUAAAUUUGGAUGGACCUAAACCUAUCCAGCACAGUACACAAGCUCUUUUAAAAUAUCGACAUUUAUCCGGUUUGCAUUUUUUUGUACUGGAGUUAAACCUAUCCAGCAUGUUCGUGAACCUAAAGUCGGCUUCAGUAUAUAUCAAUUGGAAGUCGGCUUAUGAGGCUUCAGUAUAUAUCAAUUGGAAGCCGGUUUCUGUGGCUCUGCCUGUAUGUUUACAUUUUGCAAACGCAGUUUAUGCCUGAUAUUUGUGUCUCUUUAUUUAUGCAGAACUAUUCUAGAGCUCAAGGCAUCAGGUACACUUUAGAUACAAACUCUCGCGCUCAACGGAGUUUCCAUGUAGUGUUAAAUUCCGGUGAACUAUAUCUCACCCCAUGCAUGCUGCCUACUCCUUUGUUGCAAACACAAAGCUGCAUGAGACCAGAUCGAUUAGGUAUACUUUGUUACUGACUGAUUGGUUCAUGGAUUAAGCAUGGACUGUAGGAAAUUAGGAGUUGUACAAGGAGGAAAGGAGAAGAGAAGAGAAGAGAAGAAAGAGGACUUAUUUCAUUGGAUUCGCGGCUGUUUGAUUCCUGUUUGCUGCAAGGAUAGAUCUCCGUUGACCACAUAUUCAGUAGUAGAUCAAAAGCUUAUUUUAAAUUCUAGGAAUAAUUGGGUUCAUAAUUUGGUUGUGGCACCCACAUGAAAGCUGUAGAGUCCAUCGAUAUCUUUCCAAGGAUACUAAGUUUCUGCAAUUCAGAAUAAUGAUUGUCAAGAUAUCACCAAAACAUAUUUCUAUGUUCGAGGAUUUUUAAUACUAGAAGAUUUUCUGUUUUACAAGAAUUACUCUACUUACAGGAAGAACCAGUUUUUGGCCGCCACAUGAACUUACAAAUGAUCUCCUUCUGAUAUUCAUACUAUUCUCAUUUGCUUGAUUUUGUGAAGUGCAUUAAGAUUUAUAGUAUAGACCAGAUAUGUUCAGAAUGGUUUCAAUGUUAAGUGAAAGAUAGGAACACAUGAUUUCAGUAUCUUGAUGAGGGCCAGAUUUAACUUGCUGAUGAAUAACAGAAGUUAUAUUGCUGGGACAUGUUUUUGGCCUCACAUUACUUAACUCUGCAGCUGGUUUGUAGAGCUGCAUCUUCUCUUAUUCUUUUUGGUUCUUCGGAUGAGCGACGCUGCCUGUGGGUCGUGGACAAAGCGGCUGCUACUUCCAGGUUUGAUUUUUUGCUGAUCAGUUCCUGGUGAUGGGAUUAUGGUUUUUUGUGUGACUUCUCCUGAAGAGAUUUUUGUUUUUGGUUUUGGUUUUGAUGGUGAAUUUAGGAUAACAGGGACAAUGAUGUUGCCAUACCGGCAGGUGCUGGACAUGAUUCUCAAAGAAGAUACGGAUGUGCAUGCUUCACAUCUUCUACACGCUUAUGCAAAGUGGGAUUUUAUUCAUAUUUUGAUGAGCUUAAUUUCUUAUGCUACUGAUUGCUUCUGCCUGAAGGAUACAUAUGGUAUGUUUUGUGAGCGGUGGGUAUGGAUGAGGUGAGAGCGUCUGUUAGUGAGUCAUUUUUGUUGGAUACUUUAAUCUGUUAGGGUUGAUAUAUAUUUUGAUUGGCGUGGUUGCCUCAAAGUAAUGCCCUGCUACUCCUUGGGGGACGUGAGCGAAGAUUUAUGCCUUAAGCAUAGGAAUGAGGGAGUAGGUUCCAAUAGAAUAGGCGAUGAUGCUAGGAGAGGCACAUCGAGGAACAAGUACAUGGUGCUACUCGAUGGUCAGCCACAUUCUGACUAUUAUUUUGGCAUGCCAAAGAGAUAGCACAUGAUGUUCUACUGCUGGGGAAUUGAAGUAUAGUGCUUAACAAUAUACUGGCAUGUAUUUUUUUUUAAGUAUAUAGUGGUUUCCUUUAGUUGAAAUACAGAAAAAAUUUCACCCCCAAUGAUUCAACAAGAGUUGUUCAUUAAAAGCGUGUGGUUUCUUUCUUCAUCAAGAAUUGAAAUAAUAUGUACUAUUAGAACUCCAUGGAGAGCAAUAAUAUAAUUGUCACAUGGGGUGAUCUUUAUUGGCUAAUUGUAUAGCUUAUGAUCUUAUGGAGUUUAGGUUUGUAAAUCCACGUAUUUUUUAGAUGAAGAAACAAAGAAGGAAAUGACUAUAUCAAGGAUCACAUAUGGUUAAAUGUAGAGACAACGAACACGGUGGCAUAUUACUUGCAACAUGGUGAAACUUUUAGGAUAGAAGGGUAAACGAAUUGCUCGGUCGCUUCAAGAGUUAAUAAUGGACAUGGUGGCACAUGUAUACUUCGCGGUAAUGCAUGAUAUUCGACUGUAUGUUACAACAUGGCAAUGACUCAGGAUAUAUCGGAUCUGCCUUGAUGGCGGUGGCGGAUCAGCACGAACACAAGGGGUGGGGAUCAGGGCGGAGAGUGGGUGAUUGGCGGGGGACUCCUCCUUGGUGGUCUGUGGGGAUAUACAAUGUGAAGGUGGGAGGGCGCCAUGGCGAGGUGAGGUGGGCGUCAUCUGGUUUUAAAGAAGAGGGCUCCAGCGAGAAAUGUCCGGCUACGGUGGGAAACCGAGCGGGAAGGGGUGGGUUCAACAGAAAAAGGGAAUGGUGCGUCGUGGGUUGAGUUUUUGUGUUAGGACCGUGUGUUGAAGAUAAAAUGACGGAUAGUCCGGAGAAGCAUAUUUCUCCUCCGCAUAUGGUAUGGAUUUGAAGAAGUUCAGAUUGUCCAGAUGGUUAAAUUUUGGGGUGCAUUCUGGGUGCCCGUUUGAUGUUCUAACACGCCCAAAUAUAUGAGGAAGAAAUGAACUCCGACCUUCGAUCUGUUUGAUUCAUUUAUAUAUAUGCCUUGUAGCCCGUAGCAAUGCACGUGUAUUGUACUAGUCUCGAUAGUGGUUGGGUUGGUCGGAUUGGUGGCGAGGACCCAACUAAAUCUUUUUUUCCUCCGCGUCUGCCUCUAUCUUUGGGUUGAGCCUGCCUCUUCAUUUGGUGGCUGCACGGCAAUCUUCGGGACACGGUUGCUUCGACCGCUCUAUCCUACGACGGCGUAACCAUGUGCUCCCCUCCUGUCAUGAGUCGAUGGGGGAGUCGACCGCGCCAAGACGGGCAGGGUUGUCGACGCAGGCGAGGGCGAGGGCGGGGUCGAGGGGCUCCAUGACCUCCUCAACGCGGCUGACGCCGGCGUCGAUGCGCGAGCAGCGCUUGAGCGUGAGGACGGCGCGGGAGGGGCGCGGCGUCGGUGCUGUAGAGGCGGACCCUCUGGGCAGCGGUGGUGGCGGCGAGGGGCCGCGCGGGGGCGUCGGUGCGGAGCAGGCGGGGCGCGAGGAAGGAGGAGAGGCGCCGGUGUGCGGCUGCGUCGGGGAGCCGGAGCUUGAUCUCGACCUCCAUGGGGUUGGGGUUGCGGCUAGGGCUGGGGGGCGGGGGCUGGAAGGGGCGGGCGGCGGCGUCUACUCUGGGAGUUUUAGGGAUCGAGAGGAGCGGAUGAAAAAACCUAUGAAAAAACCCAGUGCACUAGUAGGAAAUGGGGCUUUUACCCCGGUUUGUAAGGGCCUUUUGUCCCGGUUUUCGAACCGGGACUAAAGGGUCGUUACUAAAUCCCUAACCCUUUAGUCCCGGUUCUUACACGAACCGGGACAGAAGGUCCUCCACGUGGCCGCUACUGCCAGCCCAGGCAGGGGGGCCUUUGGUCCCAGUUGGUGCCAACAACCGGGACUAAUAGGCAGUGCCUUUUGUCCCGGUUGGUGUCACCAACCGGGACCAAUAGGCAUCCACGCGUCAGCAUUUCAGGGGCUGGGGUUUUUGUUUUUUUUGAAGGGGGGGGGUUUGGGGGUUAAUUUAGGUGUUUCAUAUAUUGUGUUAGCUAGCUAAUUAAUAGAGAGAAGUGUCCUCUCUUAUCUCCGUGCUUGGUCGACGCUACGUACUAUAUACGUAUGGAGAGGUCUAGACACGCUAGCUAGUAAGCAAAUGAAGGAAACAGAAGAUCGUCAUGAACAUAUGCAUGCAGAGAGAAGUGAUAUCGACCACCUCUCCUUCUCCGAGAGAUUGGUCGAACAACAAGUUCUCGUAUAUCUAUCUGACACUAUCAGCUACAUAUAUACAAUAAUUAUCUCUUACAAUAUAAUCUCCUAAUUAAAUUGUAAGAACACAGGGUCCACAUAGUAUUCUCCGUUUUCAGCGAUCACGUGGUCAAGGAAGAAUGCCGCCAAUUCCUCUUGAAUUGCUCGCAUACGAUCUUCUGCUAGGAGUUCAUCCCGCAUCCGAAACAUCUAAUUUGAAGAAGGGGGUCAAUACAUAUAUAUAUAUAUAUAUAUAUAUAUAUAUGAAUAAAUAAAACUCGACACAAAUGAUGGUAAUAAAAUAAAAUUGUGAAUAUUAUUGCUUACGCACUUCAUAUUGUUCGUCAGAGUAGCCCCGUUCACAGGUCCUGUGGCGGAUAGACUCGCAAACAUAGUAUCCACAGAAAUCAUUCCCUUGUUCCUGCCACAACCACUUUACAAGAAAUAGAGGUCAAUCUAACUGAUAAGCAAGCAUGCUAAAUGGUAUUGAUGAAACUAGCGCUUGAAUCACUAGGAGAUGUGCGGAACAUGCUACUAUAGUACUUACUUUCGGGUGUCUAAAUUGCAGCUUCUUCGGCAGUCCCGGAGCUUUUGUGGUGAAUUUUCUCCAAACCCUGCCAGACAAAGAAAACAAUUACUUGAUAUCAGGAAAUGAACAAAGUUGCUGAUAUGGUGGAUAAUGAUCGAUUUAACUUACUUCUCGAGCAUUUGAGUCAUGUCCGCAUAUUCCUGGGGAUCUUUUUGUCUCGAGUCUAAGACGGUUACUACUCCCUGCUCAAGCUUAAUCUCUAGGAGAAUAUAGUGGAAGCUGCGCAUGCAUGCAUAAGUCAUCAAUUACAUUACCAUAACCUGGACUAAUAAGGGAAACCGAAUAUGCACAAGACAGUAACACUCACUUGAAGUUAUAAGGAAAGAGUAUUAUAUCUUUGUUUUGAUUUAAUACCAACGAUCGUAGCAAGUUGGCCUCGGCUUCUUUGGCAUGUUUUUCAACCAUAUAUGCAUCUAUGAGAUUUGUGUUAAUGAACCCAAUAUCACCGAUUUGUCUUUUCUUCAAUUCGGCGAUCUUCAAUCUGCAUAAUAUAGUGAGGAUAAUUAUAAACACAUGCAAUGAAAGAGCUGACCUAUAUAGAGAGACUUAAUGACAGAAGUAGUACUACUUAUAGACAGUAGCAAGUGAUCGUUGAUUUAUCAAGGGCCUUUUGAUUGAAAAACUGGAAGAACUCCUCAAAUGGAACAUUCAGCAGUUCAAUUCCAACGAGGUCAUGCUCCGGUUUAACUCUCAGCGUCAAAGUAUUCAUCCCAUCAGACUCUCUGCAGGUUUUCAUGUACCAAUCAUGUAAUCUUCGCAUCAUCAUUGUUAGAGAUCUUUCAUCUUUGACGAGAGGCUUCCCGUAAUGGUAUUUGUGUUCGUCCACCUCCAUGAUUUCAUAAUGUACAUCGUCGGGCAGGUAAUCUCCAAGAUUGCUAUAACCGGGCACCAUCCUCGGAUCAUUAGCGACGAUGUCACUAGACUCCUUGAGCGGGGGGCACGAUUGGUUCGCUUGUUCGCCGAGCUGGGCAAUUUUUUUCCCAGCUCGUCGUUCUUUUAACCUUUUAUCACUGACAGUACUUUCCGACCGCUCCGCUUCGGCAUAUGUCUUUGCAAGAAUGCGCUCAUAGUUGCCUCUCGGCGGAGACUUUGGUGGUUUUGUCAGGGCAGCCAGAGUGCGCUUUGCUGUCACCGGAUCUACCUUCUCCUCCGGAGGUGGAUGUUUCUUUACUUUCACCCCUUCAAAGAAGUUCUUCACUUCGGCUUGCACGAUCUUCCUGGUUUCCUCCUCGGUCCUCUCGUAUGGUAACUUCUCUGGAGUCUUCAGAGAAGGACCGAAUCUGUAUUGCCUCCCGCGUCUGGCAGCUGUAUUGCUAGACGCCGGCAGAGCAGACGGAGCGGCUGCGGCUGUCUUCUUUCCUUGCUUACAAGGCAGAGGAGAAGGACUAUGACGCGCCAGAGCAGCCGGAGCGGCGGUGGGUCUCUUCCGCCCUUGCUGACGAGGCGGAGAAGGAGGAGGCUGGCUGCUCUGGCACGCCGGCGCAGGCGGAGAAGGAGGCAGAGUGUCGCCACGCGCCGGAGAAGGAGGCUGAUGAGUGCCCUGAUCACUCGCCGGAGGAGGAGGCGGAGGAGGAGGCGGAGUGCCGCCACGCGCCGGAGAAGGAGGCUGAGUGCCCUGAUCACUCACCGGAGGAGGAGGCGGCGGCAGAGUGCCCUUACUCGCCGGAGGCGUCCAGUUCGGAAGGUUAAUGAGCUCCUUCCGCCAUAGGCACGGAGUCUUCAGAGCUAAACCCAGCCGAGUCUCCCCUUCACCGGUAGGGUGGUCAAGCUAGAGGUCCUCAAAUCCCUCCGUUAUUUCAUCCACCAUCACCCUAGCAUAUCCUUCUGGAAUCAGCCGGCAGUGGUAGGUUGCGCCGGGUUCAGGAGGUAAAACAGAGCCAACAGCCACCUUGACUUUGAAGUUCUGCCAUUGCUCCAUAAGGUGGCAAUGUAGAGACUCCGUGAUAGCAUCCACGGGGUAGAUAGCAGGAGCUGUCAAGACAUGCUCCGGCUGAAGCAGCUCGGUGGAAGCCACGCUGCUUCUCCGCUGAGAUGGCGGGGUAGCUUCGGGGGUAGUUUCGGCAUGUCGAUUGUCGUCUCGUUCCUCUAGCGCUUGAACCCUUUCGUGCAGCUUCUGAAUUUGGGUCUGCUCCAUUUUUUUCCUCCUCUCCUGGCUUUUGUAACCGCCUGCGUCCGGAAAACCAGCCUUCCACGGAACGGAGCCUGGCGUGCCUCGUGUCCGUCCAGGGUGCUCAGGAUUCCCGAGGGCCAUUGUGAGCUCGUCGUUCUCUCUGUCUGGAACGAAUGUCCCUUCCUGCGCUGCAUCGAUAUAUUGCUGAAUCUUCUUGACUGGUAUUCUCAAAAGCUCGUUCGUCCAAACGCACCUCCCUGAUACAGGGUCCAAGGUUCCGCCAGCCUCGAAGAACCAAGUCCGGCAACGGUCUGUCCAGUUCAUUGUCUGUGGUUCGAUCCCUUUUUCAAGCAGAUCAUUCUCAACCUUGGCCCACUUAGGUCGGGCUUUGAAGUAGCCACCUGACCCCGUGCGAUGGUGAAGCUUCUUCUUCGCAGCAUUCUUCUUGUUUGUCGCUGACAUCUUCUUACUCUUUUCCGAUGUCUUGUGGGCCACAAAUGCGGGCCAGUGAUCUCUGAUCUUCUCAUACCGGCCGAUGAAUUCUGGUGUCUCUUCUUUGUCGACAAACAUUUUCAGCUCAUUCUUCCACUUCCUGAAUAGGUCUGCCAUCUUCUUAAGAGCAUGAGACUUGAUUAAUUGCUCUUUACUAGCUUCUCCGGAUCCUCCUCUGGCGGUAGGGUGAAAUUUGCCUUCAGCUCAGUCCAAAGAUCAUCUUUCUGCAUAUCAUUGACAUAAGACACCUCAGGGUCUUCCUUCUUAGGCUUAUACCAUUGCUGGAUGCUGAUCGGGAUCUUGUCCCUAACUAGAACCCCGCACUGAGCAGCAAAUGCAUCCUUUGUCCGGAUGGGUUCAAUCGGUUGGCCGUCGCGCGCGAUUGCUGUGAUCUCAAACCUUUCAUCCGAGCGCAACUUUCUCUUCGGGCCUCGUCUCUUUACCGCAAUUGUGCUCGAUCCGGAGCGCUAGAAAAAAGAAGAAAGACGAGUGUUAAUUAAUAUGUGUACAUACCAAAACAAUGAAUGCAUCAAUUAGCUAGUCAGCACAAGCUUAACUAAUAUAUUUACCUGGCCGGACUCUGUUCGGUCACUGGAGCCGUCACCACGGGCUCCUUCUUGCACCAGCAUUGGGUCACCGGAGCCAUCAUAAUCAUGUCUUUCCUCCUCCACUCUUCGAUCACCGUAGCCUGCUUCUUCACCCUGUUCUUUCAGACCAUCAUUGUCGUUAAGAUACGACAAGAUAUCACCUCCGGCUAAGAUUAUGUCCCCCAACACCUCUUCUGCUUGCUCGUCUCGUCCGUGCUCCAUUGUUUCUGCAAAUAUUACAACAUGGCAAUUAUUACACAAACAUGACAGCAGGUGGAUAUAUUAGUGCAAACGUAGACCUAGCUUAUUCCGGGUUUGGGGUGGCCUCGGCAACGCUUCAAGGGUAGGGGCGCGACGGGAGGGGGUAGGAGACCGACAUCGUUUUUUUCUAGGGUUUGGGUGUCCUUGAGAGUUUUGGUCGAGCAAGAGGGCCGGGGGGUGCUCCCGUGGUAUAUGUUAUCACGGUCGAGAGGGGGUAUAAAUAUCGACCGUCCAUCAUGUCGAAGUUAUCUGAGAGGGAGUUAUAUAUAUCGACAACGACGACAUACAUACAUGGGAAAAUAAUGUUAUCCGGGAGGGGGUAUAUCGACCCCUCCCCACGUGUUGAAGUUAUCAGGAGGGGGUUAUAUCGACAACGACGACAUACGUACAUGGGAAAAUAAUAUUAUCGGGGAGGGGGUAUAUCGACCCCCCCUCGUGUUGAAGUUAUCGGGAGAGGGGUAUAUCGACGACGACAGACCCGAUAAAACAUAAGAAAACGAAGAAGAAAUAAAAAGAGGAGAAGAAGAAAAGGAAUAGAGGAGAAGAUCGAAGAAAANNNNNNNNNNNNNNNNNNNNNNNNNNNNNNNNNNNNNNNNNNNNNNNNNNNNNNNNNNNNNNNNNNNNNNNNNNNNNNNNNNNNNNNNNNNNNNNNNNNNNNNNNNNNNNNNNNNNNNNNNNNNNNNNNNNNNNNNNNNNNNNNNNNNNNNNNNNNNNNNNNNNNNNNNNNNNNNNNNNNNNNNNNNNNNNNNNNNNNNNNNNNNNNNNNNNNNNNNNNNNNNNNNNNNNNNNNNNNNNNNNNNNNNNNNNNNNNNNNNNNNNNNNNNNNNNNNNNNNNNNNNNNNNNNNNNNNNNNNNNNNNNNNNNNNNNNNNNNNNNNNNNNNNNNNNNNNNNNNNNNNNNNNNNNNNNNNNNNNNNNNNNNNNNNNNNNNNNNNNNNNNNNNNNNNNNNNNNNNNNNNNNNNNNNNNNNNNNNNNNNNNNNNNNNNNNNNNNNNNNNNNNNNNNNNNNNNNNNNNNNNNNNNNNNNNNNNNNNNNNNNNNNNNNNNNNNNGCGUCGUCGGGGCAAACUGCAGAUGAACUCUGAAAAAUUUCCUAAGUGUUUGCUUAUAUAGCAAAGCCUUUAGUCCCGGUUCGUGGCACCAACCGGGCCUAAAGGUAGGCAUUAGUCCCGGUUGGUGCCACCAACCGGGACCAAAGCCCUCUUUUCAGCAGCCCAAAGGGCGGGAAGCGGCGGCCUUUGGUCCCGGUUGGUGGAACCAACCGGGACUAAAGGGGGGGCAUUGGUCCCGGUUGGUGCCACGAACCGGUACGAAUGCACCCCUUUAGUCCCGGUUGGUGGCACCAACCGGGACCAAGGCCUCUUGCUGCCCGCGUCGCGGCCAAAAGUUUAGUCCCACCUUGCUAGCCGAGGGGCGCCCGCACCAGUUUAAAAGCCGCGGCGCGGCUGCUGUCUCGAACUCCUCUCUAUAGCAGGAUUCUGGGCCUAACUUUGGCGCGCUGCCCGUUGAGCCUUCUAGCCCUUCUGGUCCUGUAUUUGCAAACCUGAGGGUUGGAAGGCCCAGCGGGCAGCGCCCCAACAAUUUUUUUUGCUGUAUUUAGUUUUUCUGUUUUCUUUUUUUUCUUUAUUUAUUUUGUUUUGUUUCUACUUACGACAAAAAACUUAUUUAUUUUAUUUUGUUUCUAAUUACUUAUUUNNNNNNNNNNNNNNNNNNNNNNNNNNNNNNNNNNNNNNNNNNNNNNNNNNNNNNNNNNNNNNNNNNNNNNNNNNNNNNNNNNNNNNNNNNNNNNNNNNNNNNNNNNNNNNNNNNNNNNNNNNNNNNNNNNNNNNNNNNNNNNNNNNNNNNNNNNNNNNNNNNNNNNNNNNNNNNNNNNNNNNNNNUUGUUUUCUUUUUGCUUUAUUUAUUUUGUUUUGUUUCUACUUACAACAAAAAACUUAUUUAUUUUAUUUUGUUUCUAAUUACUUAUUUAUUUUACUUUAUGAUAAUUCUUUUUGCUAUUAAAGUUUCUAUCAAAAAAGUUCUUUAUGAAAAUUCUUUUUGCUUUUAAUGAUUUUGAACAGAAAAUACUUCGAUAAUUUUAGUUGCAUCAAUUUUAUAUGAUUUUAGUUUCAAUAAUACUAGAGGUUUCUUAUANNNNNNNNNNNNNNNNNNNNNNNNNNNNNNNNNNNNNNNNNNNNNNNNNNNNNNNNNNNNNNNNNNNNNNNNNNNNNNNNNNNNNNNNNNNNNNNNNNNNNNNNNNNNNNNNNNNNNNNNNNNNNNNNNNNNNNNNNNNNNNNNNNNNNNNNNNNNNNNNNNNNNNNNNNNNNNNNNNNNNNNNNNNNNNNNNNNNNNNNNNNNNNNNNNNNNNNNNNGUUUCUAAUUACUUAUUUAUUUUACUUUAUGAUAAUUCUUUUUGCUAUUAAAGUUUCUAUCAAAAAAAGUUCUUUAUGAUAAUUCUUUUUUCUAUUAAAGUUUAUUUUAUUUUGUCGUAACACAAGAAGUCCGGAGUUGUAAUAAGUUAUUAAAAAUGGAAAAGAGGCGCAAUGCUCGUUGAUUAGCUUCAAGCCUUUCGGAAUAGUGUAGACUGCACUGCACAUAGCUCCAUGUAGUCUACCUUAUUCCUCAAGGCUUGAAGCUAAGCUACGUGAAGGUGAGCAUUGCGCCUCUUCUUCAUCGUCUCUGCACUCAGGGCUUAUAAACCGCUCCUAGUGCCUCUCAGCUAGCGAGGUGGGACUAAAAAACUGCUUAGUAAGAAACUCUAGUACCGGUUCGUGCCACGAACCGGUACUAAAGGUGCUCGUGGGGCCACAGCCUCAUUACUACCGGUUCGUGGCAGCAACCAGGACCAAAGGGUGGAAUCGGUCCCGGUUCGUGCCACCAACCGGGACCAAUGGCCUUGCACAGCGGCGUGGUGGUGGGAGUUUAGUCCCACCUCGCUAGCUGAGAGAGAGCCGCACCUUUUUAUAAGGUGCGGUGCGCCUGAGCUGUCGAGCUCCUCUCUAAAGCAGGCUUACGGGCCUAACCUCUCUGUACAUGCCUGUGGGCCUACUGGGCCUUCUGCGGGCCUGAAUCCUGGCCCAUGGAUGGGUUUCUAAUCGUAUUCAGGCCAUGGUGGCCCAGUAGGUGGCAUAAUUUUUAAUUUUUGGCCUGUUAUUUUUCAUGCAUUUAGUAAUUAUUUUGAGCUAUAAGACCCUAAAAUUGAAAAGCAUUUCAAAUGAACUCUAAAAAGGUUGAAAUUUGGCAUGGUAUCAUCAUUUCAUCCACAUAGCAUGUGCAAGAAAAUUGAGAGGGUUACGGCAAAAACUAGAUGCACUUCGUGUACAAAACGGACAAUGGUAUCAUACUCGUCUGUUACAAAGUUGGCAUGGUAUCAUCAUAAUAGUUGCGGGAGAAAGUCUUCACUUUUUCUUCGCUUGUGUCAUUUGCAUCAUUGGGCACAUCGUCUGGUUCCUCUUGAUCUUCAGCAGCUUCCCCCGUUGCAGCAUCACCGUAUUCAGGGGGCACAUAGUUGCCAUCGUCCUCUUCUUCUUCGCCGUCUUCCAUCAUAACCCCUAUUUCUCCGUGCCUCGUCCAAACAUUAUAGUGUGGCAUGAAACCCUUGUAAAGCAGGUGGGUGUGAAGGAUUUUCCGGUCAGAAUAAGACUUCGUAUUCCCACAUAUAGGGCAUGGACAACACAUAAAACCAUUCUGCUUGUUUGCCUCAGCCACUUCGAGAAAAUCAUGCACGACCUUAAUGUACUCGGAGGUGUGUCUGUCACCGUACAUCCAUUGCCGGUUCAUCUGCGUGCAUUAUAUAUAAUUAAGUGUGUCAAAAACCAUUACAGAACAUCAUGAAUAGAUAAUUAAGUGACCAAAUUAAUAGAAGUUCAUCAUCACAUUAAAACCAAAGUACAUACAUAGUUCUCAUCUAACAACAUAUAUAUAGCUCUCCAGAGCAUCUAAUUAAUUAAACCAUACAUUGAAACUAUGUAAAACAUUUCAAUGCGAAAACAAAUGCGAUCAUAAUCGCAACCAAGGUAACAAUUGAUCCAACGGCAUAAUGAUACCAAGCCUCGGUAUGAAUGGCAUAUUUUCUAAUCUUUCUAAUCUUCAAGCGCAUUGCAUCCAUCUUGAUCUUGUGAUCAUCGACGACAUCCGCAACAUGCAACUCCAAUAUCAUCUUCUCCUCCUCAAUUUUUUUUAUUUUUUCCUUCAAGUAAUUGUUUUCUUCUUCAACUAAAUUUAACCUCUCGAUAAUAGGGUCGGUUAGAAUUUCCGGUUCAACCACCUCCUAGAUAAAUAAAAUCUAUGUCACGUUGGUCGGCAUAUUUGUCAUAAACAAUAAAUGAACCAAAUAGUUAUAAAAAGAUAAUAUAUACCACAUCCGACUCAUAGACAGGACGAGGGCCGACGGGGGCGGAUACCAAAACCAUCGCACUAUGUAAUAAGAAGGAAUAAUAAAAGUAAAAAAAUUAGACAAGUAUCUAUCUAAAGUAAGAAUUUUUUUCCUUUCAGAAAGAAGAUAAGAACAAGAGGCUCACCACGGUGGUGCUGGCGACGAGAUCGGCGCGGGCGAUCAACGGCGGUGAAGACGGGGACGGGACGUGACGGACGGCUAAACCUAGACAAAUCUCGGGGAAAAUGGAGCUCGGAGGUCGAGUUUCGAGAGGAGAAAGAUUAACUAGUGUGGCUCAAACAUUUCAUCGAACACCUCAUGUGCAUAGGAGGUGAGCUAGAGCACCCAAAUGCCCUCCCCUCGCCGGCCAGAAAAAAUAGAGCACUGUGGAGUGCUCUGCUGUGGCAACGAGGUAUAUAUAGGGAACUCAUUGGCCCCGGUUCGUGGCACCAACCGGGACUAAAGGCCUUUGGUCCCGGUUUGUGGCACCAAUCGGGACCAAUGCCCCCCUUUAGUCCCGGUUGGUGGCACCAACCGGGACCAAAGGCCUUGUGCUGCCCCGCGUCAAAAGUUUAGUCCCACCUCGCUAGUUGAGAGGGCUCGAGAGUGGUUUAUAAGCGCUGCUGCGCCCACCCUCUCGAGCUCCUUCAACUGCAAGCUUUCGGGCCUAACCGUUCUCUUUGCCUGUGGGGCCUACUGGGCCUUCUGCGGGCCUGAAUCCUGGCCCAUGGAUGGAUUUCAAGUCGUAUUCAGGCCGUGGUGGCCAAGUAGGUGGCAUAAUUUUUUUCUCGGUUUUUUGUUUUCUCUUUUGCUUUAUUUGUUUUGUUUUAUUUCUACUUACAACAAAAAACUUAUUUAUUUUAUUUCCAAUUACUUAUGUAUUUUACUUUAAUUAUUUUAUUUUUAUUUAUUUUACUGCUGCUAUUUUUAUCUAUUUUACUGCUGCUAUUUUUAUUUAAUUUAUUAAGGUUUAUUUAUUUUAGUUAUUAUAGUUUAUUUUAUUUUAUUUUAUUAAGGUUUAUUUAUUUUUAUUUAUUUUAUUAAGGUUUAUUUAUUUUAUUUACUAUAAAAAAUGAACAUAGAUGCGCCUUUAGAGAAAAUUCAACCUAAAUUCAUAAUAAAUUUCUAUGAAAUUCAAAGAAAUUUACUGUGAAUUUAGGUCAAAUUCCCUGUAUAAGGGCAUCUAUUUUCACUUUGAGAGGAGCUCAACAAGGCAGAGAGGGACGGGCUUAUAAACUGGUGUGAGCGCCCUUCGGUUGGCGAGGUGGGACUAAACACUGGCCGCAACUAGGACCAGCCCUUUAGUCCCGGUUUGUGGUAUGAACCGGGACUAAAGGGUGGUGGGCCAGGAGCGUGGCCCAUUGGUCCCGAUUUGUCCCACCAACCGGGACCAAAGGGGCCGGACAAACCGGGACCAAUGCCCCCACGAGGCCCGGCAGGCCCCUGGCCGCACGAACCGGGACCAAUGCUCGCAUUAGUCCCAGUUCGUGACUGAACCGGGACUAAUGUGGAUAUUGCCCUGUGACCAAAGCCCAGUUUUCUACUAGUGGUGGAAGGUGGGACGAAAAACAAACCAUGAUAGGUGGGACGAAAAUAAACCUGGAACGGAGACUACCAAGUACCAACUGAGGCAUUAGGAGUAGAGAUUUCCCGUGUCAUACAUGUCCAGCGAGAAGACCACAACUCCUUCUAUGUCGCGUACUAUUGUGGAGACCCUCUUUUUGGAUUUUUUUUUCAUCCGUUCACCUUCGAAAGAAUUUUUUUUCUUUCUAUUCGAGGUGGUACUAAAAUUUUAUGCGUGUAUCCGCUAGAAAAGAAAAAAGAUUUGUCCAGAGGCCGCGCACGCUCCGGCCCAAUGAAGCCAGCACACUUAUUAUUGCCCACGUAGUUGGGAAGAACUUAUUUGUUGUAUUGAGCGAUAAAUAAUUGAAGCUGCCCAUAGGACGCCUAAAACAGGGUCGGCCCAUUUCCCCUUUUUAGAUGUUCUAUUUCUAUUUUUUUCUGUUCCUUUCUCUUUCUCUUUUAUAUUUCCUCUUCCUUUUUUCCAUCUUUAUUUUUUAGUUUUUCUGUCAAAUAAAAAUUUACAAAAAUAUUCAGAAUUUGCAAAUUUUGUUCAAAUAUUGAAAAUUAGUCAGAGUUCAAAUUUUUUGUUCCUGAUUUGAAAAAUGUCCGAAACUUUUAUAAAAAUUCAUGUUUUGAAAUUUUCUCAUUUUUAAUUUUUUGUGUUUUUAAAAAAUUCUUAGAUAUUUUUUAAUAAAAACUACAUUUUAUAAAGUGUUCCAUAUAUAAAACUAUCCCUGUUUUAGUGACAUGUUCACAAAUCCAAAACAAUAGUUUUGUCUGAGAAAACAUUUUCUAAAAUGGUUUUGAAUGUUCCCCUUUUAAAAAGAUCAGAAAUUCAAAAAUAUUUGUGUGUUUUAUAAAAUUAUCAUGUUUUCAAAAAUAUUGUUUGUGAAUUUCAAAAACUAUUAAUGUUUCUAAAUUUUUUUGUUUUUCCAAAAAUAUUGGACUUUAAAAAAAAUGUCGCAUCUUUUGAAAAUUGUUUGGGAUUUAAAAAAUUGUUCACGUUUCCAAGAAUUUCGCCAAUUCAUAUUUAUGUUGAAUGUUCAAAAAAAAACCAAAAGAUAUUUCUAAUAUUACGCUAUAGUACUCCCCCCGUCCGGAAUUACGUGUCGCGAAAAUGGAUGAAAAUGGAUGUAUCUCGAACUAAAAUACGUCUAGAUACAUCCAUUUCCCCGACAAGUAUUUCUGGACGGAGGGAGUAUAUUAUUAAAUAUUCGCUGGCCAUUGGUUGGCGAUGCAUGGUCGUUCUAUGCUGGUUUACUAUAAAUGAAAGAAAUUGUAGGCACAUGCCAAUAAAAGAGAAUAUGUUGUUUGGCUUUAAUUGGAGCAAAAUGAUGGGCACUUGAGCACUAAAAUAAUCAAAGAGAAUAGACCCUAAAAAAGAAGAGACAUUCAUGCCUGAUCAUGCUAAUGAAAUGGGAUUGAUGCGUUGCAAUUAAUGAUCCACCUGGUUACGUGGUCAUAGGAUAGAGUGGUCAAAGCAACCGUGUCCCGAAGGUUGCCGUGCAGCCACCAAAUGAGGAGGCAGGCACAAUCCAAAGAUAGAGGCAGAUCCGGAGGAAAAAAGGCAUGAGUUGGGUGCUCGCCACCAAUCCGACCAACCCCACCAAUAUCGAGAUUUCCCGUGUCAUACAUGUCCAGCGAGAAGACCACAACUCCUUCUAUGCCGCGUACUAUUGUGGAGACCAUUUUUUUUGGACGACACAUCAAUUAUCUUUCCCGUUGCUUCUUACAAAAAAAAUGUCUUUCCUGUUGCAACGCACGGACAUAUAUGCUAGUAACUAUUAAGCAAUGUAUUUCGGAGCUGAUUAAUAUUUCUUUAUUAUGCAAGUACACUGCAUAAUAUAAGGCCUAAUAAAUUUAUACAUGUGAGAAAAAAAAUCUUGGGUCUUGGCAUUACUUGAUUCUUCACCACCUCUCAGUUUCAUCUAGAAAAGGAUGCCGAGAUUGACCCGGUUAAGUGGAUCAAGAUGGUUGAGAAAGAGAUCUCAUUAGAAUGUAAAAAGAAGAAUCAAAGGAAAGGUCCACGCUUAAACAAACUGGUUACAUGCAUAAAUAGAAAGGUCUGAAUAUGGACAUGUCAAUUCUUACACGGCAGGCAGAUAAAAUCAAGAUCACUAUUGCAACAACAAGAUUACACAGUUACACAAGUUGACAUAUAAUUAUAAGUUAAAUCCAAGUCGUGGCCACCACAUGUCAUAUGCGGUGAGCAAUCUAAAAAAUGUAUAUUGUAACUUAACUUAUGUUCGACGAGGGCGAAAAAUGCAUAUUGUAGCUGAAUCUAAUCAGAUCACGGAGGUGGAACCACACGUCGAGAGGUGAUAACCUUAACUUGUCUUCUCCAGUGAAGCUCACUGCUGCUCCUUUGGGUGGGUGUGUACGACAGGGAUCAGGACCAGACGCCCUCCACCGCAGGCCCCGACAAUUCUCGAUCGAGAGCGACUGUACUACAGUUGUAGAAGCAAUCAAUCACUCCCGUAGCACUCUAGCAGAGUAGAGCGGACAUCAGGGGAGGGAGGCCUAUUUAUUAUCCAAGAAACUCACAAGCAUAUCCUUUCCCAGGGCUGAAAACUACAGAGUGCAGACAGGUUUUCAACAACACUCUUGAGGAAGGAUGAUUUGACAUGCCAGCAACAUCUCCACGGUAACCAGCGCUGAUGCAAGCUUUCCAUCAGUAUGGUAUUGAAACAGAUACCUGGCAGAUGCUGAGGGAGAUGACUUAAUUCACAAUACAUAUGUCUGAAUCUGAACAAGAUAGAAAUCAAAGUUCAGCUAAGCCGAUCGACCUGGUAGUACAUUAUUUGAAGCAAACAGAAUCCAUGCCGUUUCUAUGUGGUUUCCGCCCUGCUUACUCCUGCAUGGCUUGCUGGCGCUCCCUGGCUUGUCGAGUGGCCUUCCUCCGCUCACGGACUAGCCUUGGCAUCUCCUUCCAUGUAUUCGGUUUAAGUGCCAUCACUGCACAUAUCGCAAAUGGCGUCAGAACAAACACGUACAAAUUAAUGUAACAUAAAAAUUUAUACCGGACGGAAGUAAAAUAAUGGAGAACAAACUUGGACAAACAUGCUGGCGUGGUAGAUUUAAUGGAAUGGAUGACUGCAUCUGUUUGUUAAAUGUGGCAAAGAUAGAAGGACGUGCUGCAAGCAUACCUUCAUAACGGGCAUCUAGUCCUUUGAUGUUAAUGCUGCCCAGUUGCUGCUGCAGGCAUCUAGGGAGCUUCUUUAUAGCAGGGCAGCCUGUAAUUCCAACAAAGUAGAGAGACCUGUAUACUUGCGGCUCAUUCGGCAGGGAUGCCAGGGUACUGCAUCUUUCAAGAUAAAGGUAUUCCAGCGAUGGGGGGUGCUCUCCCGACAGACACUCCAGCGAUGUCAGCCCACUGUUGCCAAUAAUGCGCAGUCUCUUGAGGGGCGCAGGCAGACGAAGAGUCCCACCCAACAUGGCAGCACAGUCCAGUAUUGCUAGAUAUUCGAGAUGGGGAGGAAGUAAAUGCUCUCUUGCAGUUGGUGCUGUUGCUGCUGGUGGCUCUGGCAUGAUAGGACUUCUGCUUAUGGAGGUAGUGGCUUCUGGAUUCUGGAGCCCACCCAGCUGACAUGAUAGGACUUGAAUGCUAUUGCAGCCAGAAAUAUAUAUGGUCUUUAAGGAUGGAGGCAGACUUAGAACCGCUUGUAAGCUUCCACAUUCGACUAAACUUAGAUCUUCUAGGCAUGGACAAAAGUGAUUCAUGGGUGAGGAUGGCAACUCUGAUACAGCUGCAGGCAUGACUGCCUCACUGCUAGAAGAUCCUUGGACUAACUCCGGCAUGCCCUGCUGCUUGCCGAAUAUGGACUCAAGCUUAUGGCACCGACGAAUAUUCAUUUCCUUGAGAGAUGCCGAAACGUUGAACAUCUCUACCAAAUUUACACAAUCAUAUAAAUAAAGGGACUCCAGACCUGGCAGGUGUUGACUCCUUUCGGACGCCAAUGGCUCAAGAGGAGCCUGUGCAUAUCCAGUCAGGUUUUCGCAGUUUCUAAUCACUAAUAUCCUCAAGGAUACCAAGCUUUGGAACACAUUCUCUGGCCAGUGGAUGAGCACAUCGCAUCUGUUAAUUACCAGCUCUCCAAGAUGUACAAAAUAGUCCCACGGCUCUAGUGCACCUGGUCCAAAGAAUGAGUUGCAGCGUCCUAACUCCAUAACUGUAAGUGGGGAUUUCUGGUUCCAUUUCUCUUUGCUGUCGACCAGUACAAUUGAAGUGCAUUCAGACUCUGAUGUUGUUUCUGUGUGUUCUAGCUUCAGUGUCAGCUUGGUCAAUGAAGACAAAUACCUGUCUACACAGUGGAAGAUCUCUUGCUUCCCAUCUUCAAUUUCGAAUAAACUGAGUUUUGGUGCUUUGGGCAAUGCUACCAGUUUUGGGCAUUUCUGGACUGACAGUUUCUCAAGCUCAGGAAACAAUGUCCCUUCAACUGCAUCCCAUCUCUGAAAGCUCUCCAAGUCUUCCAUUUUGAGCACCUUGAGGGCAGGAAAGGCUGAACGUACCAAUCUAUAACCACCUCCACUACAUGGUUCUUCAAGCAAUGGUGCUUCAGGUAAAUUUAUCAGCUUUGGGCAUUUCUCAAUUGACAGUUCCUCUAGACAAGGAAACAAUAUAUGUUCUCCUUGAGUCUCUUCGACUGCAUCCCAUCUCUGAAAGCUCUCCAACUCUUUCAUUUUGAGUACCUUUAGGGCAGGAAACGCUGAGCGUACCAAUGUAUAACCACCUUCACCACAAGGUCCUUGCAGCAAUGGUGCUUCAGGUAAUGCUACCAACUUUCCACAAUUACUAAUAAACAACUUCUCAAGCACAGGAAAUAUUGUUUGUUCUUCUUGCCUCUCAUCUAUUUCCGGCCAUCUUUCAAAACCCAACAGAUGUUCUAGCAUAAGCACCUUCAGUUUUGGAAAAGUGAGGAUUGUACUGCAUUUGAACAAAAAUUGCAAUCUUUCACAAUGAAAAAGAUGGAUCUCAACCAUGUUCUGCAACAUACCCAUGCACUCUCCUCCAUAGGAAUAUAUCUUCAGAACCUGCAGCCCAACAUGAGGUUCAAAAUUGUUGAGCACCUUGCUGACACAAACAGAGCUCCAUCUUAAUGUCAGUUCUCUGAGAUCCUUCUUUUUACCGAAAUCUGCCACUUUCGCUUCUGUUUCUAUAUCGAUAUUCUCUAACUGGCAUAGCUCUAGCUGCCCACCAAGGUUUAAAUGCUGCAGCUCUCCAACAUCACUGCAAUCAGGACCAGGAACUCCUGCCACAAACCAUGUCAGCGUCUGUAGGUUAGUGAGUUUUCCUAGUCCUGGAGGCAUGCUCUUCAACCCCGGACAUCCAUGAGUGUAGAGGUGACGGAGGAAAGUCAUAUACUUCAUUUGCAUUGGAAGUCGUUCAAGAUAACGGCAGUCGGAAAGGUCCAACACUUGCAGGUUAUAUAGAAUACUUAUAUCCUCAGGAAGUGCUUCGAUAUCACUCCACGAGAGAUCAAGGUACCUCAGGUGAUGCAGAUACUUUGGUUUGAGCGGAAAUGAUUCUGUUCCCAGACAGAGCUUCAAGGCAUGCAAAGAGCUAUAUUUUGAUAGAUGCUUCAAUGAGCUUUGAAUAGGACUAUCGCAUAUCAGUGUUUGAAUGGCAGGGGACUUUUUCUCCAAAGAAUCAUUCAAAAUACCUUCUGUUUCAUCACAUGACAAGAACAAAUGCCGAGCAGUAUCCGAAAGCCACUCAAUUUGACUUGGUUCCUUAAUUGCAACGACACAUUCCUUUCCCAUAACAGACAUUGCAAUAUCAUGCAUAAGAUCAUGGAUUUUGCAUGUAGUUCUGAAACAGUACUGCUGAUUUUGCAUGUCACCCUUAAAUUCCUCUAUGUCCAGAAAGAAUGACCUUGAUGCUAGCUCACUGAAAAUAUGUUUGCCAACGGUUUCAAGACUAUCUUCCUCCUGUUCUGGGAUAAAGCCAUUUGCAAUCCAAAGUUGGAUAAGCUUCUCCACAUUAAUCUUGUAAUCCUUGGGAAAUAUGGCACAGAAAGCAAAGCAUUGCUUCAUGUGUGCUGGCAAAUCGUUGUAGCUAAGCUUGAGUAUUGGCAAAAUUCCCGUUUCCUCAGUGCAGAUACUGCUUCUAGAUGAUACAACCUUCCAUUCUUCUACGCUGGUCUUGGUACGAAGUACAGAGCCCAGUGCAGUUGCAGCUAAAGGAGAGCCACGACAUCUCUUCACAAUCUCACCAACCAUCUCGAGCAGCUCGGGAGGCUUUUCAUUCUCUGAACUGAAUGCUCUAUCCACAAUAAUUUCCUCUAUGAAGUAAUCCUGCAAAACAUUGAGAUUGUAGGUUCUAUCUACACCCAUAGUUUCAGCAACUUGUUUAUCACGGGUUGUUGUCAACACUGCACUACCCAUGCCACCCUGUUGAAGACAGACCUUCAGCCUUUCCCACUUAUGGACCUCUCUGUUCCAGACAUCAUCCAAUACAAGGAGAUACCUCUGCCCGCUGACCAGUUUUUGAAGUCUAUCCAGUGCUGGUUUGUUUGUAUCAUCAUUUUUCUUGGGGGAUGCUUCAACUAUACUCUUAGCCACCGAAUUCACAUCAAAGGUAUCAGAGAUGCAGACCCAGAGCUGCAACGGAAAAUGCUUCUGAAUUUCAGGUUCAUUGUAUAUGAGUUGCGCCAAUGUGGUCUUGCCAAGGCCCCCCAUUCCAACAAUGGGAACUACUGCAAGAUUUGCAUUGCUAGCUUCACCAAGUAGCACCUUAAUGAUAUUAUUCUUAUCUUCGCGCCUGGAUCUGCUGGCAAUUUCUUGUGGGUCGAUGAUGACAUAAUCUGUGUGCCUCCACUCCUUGGACACUGGUGUCUGCCUCAACUGAUUGGACACCAACAAUGUCUGCCUCAACCCAAAGUCAUGCAUCUCUGCAAUGAGGAAAUUGACGCGGCGCAGAAGCAGGAGGCGACUCCGGUGAAGUUAUGGCGGCCGGCGCCGAACGGUACACACACGGCACAAGACAGUGGAACACAAGGGCUGUGCAGAAUGGUGAGAAGAGUGGUGUGAGCACAGGUGCAGGUGCAGAAUGGAGAAGAGAAUGGUGUGAGCAAGUCGUGCUUGGCUUUCUGUUAACCAAUCACAACUACCCAAUCUUGCAACGUUAACAGCUGGUGUGAGCACUUGGCAUUCUUUUUGGGCAUACCACGUUAACAGCUGGGGGUAUCUUUUUUUCUUAGUAGGGACAGCUGGAGCACCAGACAACCAGAAUAUUGCAAGUGGGUCAUUAUAAUUGAUAUUUAUAUGCCAGUAGAACCAAUGCAGUUUUUCAAAAUUUGCGUUCCACUGGCUGUGAAGUUAGCAAAUACGAUUUACUUUUUCCAAAUACAAAAAGUCGCAGAAAUGCAAAUCUAAAAAUUACCUGCGUGAGACAGCAUACCUAUUUGUGCAAAAGACAAUUCAUCUCGGAGUUUCUGCCACAGAGGGAAGGCCAAAACUUUGGUUUUCUUAAUUGGUUGAAUCUUGAAUGCAUCACAUGCCUCCUGCUGAAGAGAGAAAACCCAGAAACGGCUUUGAGAGCUACAAAGGAACGCCUGUAUUUUUUGUGUUAAUAUUGCCAAUAAUGGUGGAUGGAUCUAGCUGGUAUUUCUAGUUUCUUUUUCAAGAAUACGCUCAGGUCAUCACACAGGUCAUUUAUUUGCACCAGCUGGUUGGUGCACUGCCCCUUCUCUCGAAAUGUGCUUUCAAAAUUCAAACACCUCAUUAAGUGUACAUUUUGAUAUACUAAAGUGCAUAUCAGCAGGAAAAACACAAAUCAUCGCUGGCAUGUCCUUAAGAACUCUGGACUUUUUGGGAGAUUAGAGGAGCAUAUUUUCAGAAUUAGCACAGAUUAGCACAGUCCUCAUGGUGAGAACAACAUAUCCCAAAUUGCCAAUAAAAAUACUACACAGAUUAGCACAAGCACACUGCAGAACGGAGAAGAGAAUGGUGUGAACAAGACUGUGCUUGGUUUGCGUGUGAGAAAAACGGAAGAGCAUUGACUUUCUGGGAGCCAAGUGGCUGAGCUUGAUUUCUCGGAACCAACCACAACUAUCUAAUUUUGCAACAUCUCGGCACUGGGCAUUCUUCCUGAGCUGACAUGAAAUAAGGCAGCUAGCACUGCAUACCAACAGCUCGGGGUAUCUUCAUUUCUUUGCAAGUAUAUCAUUAUAUAAUGUAUGUUAGAUCCAAUGCAGUUUUUCAAAAGUGACAAUGCAUUGGAUGUGAACUCAGCAAACGGUAAGAAUUUCUUUCCAUGUACAAGAAGCUGCAGGAAUGCAAAUUAAACAAUUACCUCCACCGACGGGUGACAACAGACAUACAGUGCACCUACAAAACACAAUCCAUCUCUAAUUAACGCAUAACAUGCUUCCUGCUGAAGAUAGAAGACCCGGAGGCAAGUGGUUAUUUUCUUGUCCAUUUCUAAUGACACCUCUAAUUAACAUUGCAGGGGGCAGGAUCGAUCUCAAAGAGUAGCAUAAUCAGCUGCAGAUGAUUAUCACUUGUUCAUAUGGGCAAAUGAUAUACUUAACAUACGGAUAUGAUAAGACACAACUAGACAAUCUCCUAUUAUUUGACGAUGGAAGAUAUGUACGAGUAUACGAUACAAUUUGAUGAACCUAUUAGGUUCCAUUACUGUGAGACAGUGAAAACCAGAAUAAAGGGCUGUAUGGAGUUUUUUUAUCAGCCUAACGGGGUCGGCUUAAGUAACUAAAAUAAGAUGAAGCCUAACUUUUCAACCAUACAAGCAACAAAGUUAAAGACAGUGAGCUAAAACAAUAGUCGCGUAUACCUUAAAAGAUAAAUUCCCAGUGCCUUUUUAUUGAUCAUCACUGCGUAUGGCCAUAUAAUUUGCUAUUAGAUCAUCAUUAUAUUAUAUAUUUACGUCGGUAGUCGGUACAUACAAUGCAGUUUAUCAAAAGUGACAAUGCAUCCGCUGUGACCAAAGCAAAUAGUACAAAUUUUAUUUCCAAUUACCGAAGGUCGAGGAGUGCAAAUUAAACAAUUACCUCCACCGACGGGUGACAGCACACAUACAGUACACCUACAAAAUACAAUUCAUCUCGAGGACCACAAUAUUGGUUUUCGUGAAUUAUUGAAACUUGAAUGCAUCACAUGCUUUCUGCUGAUGAGAGAAGACCCGGGGGCAAGUGGUUAUUUUCUUGUCUUUUAUAAUGACACCUCUAAUUAACAUUGAAGGGACAGGAUCGGCUCUCAAAGAUAAGAAUAAUCAGCUGGCAGAUGAUUAUCUCUUGUGCAUAUGGACAGAUGAUAUAUACUUUUGUACUGAUAUGCUAAUUCAUGUUUUUCGACAAUGAAUGAUAUGUAUGAGUAUGAGAUACAAUUUUGACGAGCUUAAUAGGUUCUAUUAUUGUGAGGCAGGAACUUAUGGAGUUCUUAUUAUCAACUUAAUGAGAUCCGCUCAUAACCAACUAAAAUCAGAUGAAACCCAACCUUUUAACCAUACAACGGAGGCAGCAGAAAUAAAGAUAGAGAGCUUAACGAGAUCCGCUUAACUAACUAAAAUCAGAUGAAACCUAACUUUUUAACCAUACAAUGGAAGACAAGGGCAGUGCAGAAUGGAGAAAAGAAUGGUGAAAACACAAAUGCGGUGCAGAAUGGAGAAGAGAAUGGUGAGAGCAAGAUGUGCUUGCCUGUAAGGAAAAUGGAAGCCAACGUGAGUGUUGACUUUCUGUGAGCCAAGUGGAUGAGUUUGAUUUUCAGUAACCAAUCAGAACUAUCCACUCUUGCAACAGCUCAGCAUUAGCUGGGCAUUCUUUUUGGGAACACCACGUUAACAGCUGGGCAUAUCUUCAUUUCUUAAUAAGGCACAGCGACAAAGACAACCAGAAUAUUGCAAGUAGAUCAUUAUAUUAGGUAUUUAUAUGCCAGUACAUUGCUUGGCUGUGAACUUAGCAAAUACGAUUUUCUUUUUGCAAAUAUACAAAAGGUCACAGGAAUGCAAAUCUAAAAAUUACCUCAACUGACUAGACGUGUGACAGGAUACCUACUUGUGCAAAACACAAUUCAUCUUAGAGUUGCUGCCAAGGAGGGAGGGCCGGAGUAUUGGUUUUCUUGAUUGGUUGAAUCUUGAAUGCAUCACAUGCUUCGAUUCCCGCUGAAGAGAGAAGACCCAGAAAUGGCUUUUAGAGCCCGGAAGCAACGCCUGUAUUUUUUUUAUAUUGGCAAUAAUGGUGGAUGGAUCUAGCUGGUAUUUCGGGUUUCUUUUUCAGAAUACGCUCAGGUCGUCUCACAGGUCAUUUAUUUGCCCCAGCUGGUUGGUGCACUGUCCCUCUCUCUAAAUGUGACUUCAAAAUUAAAACAUCUAAUUAAGUGUACAUUUUGAUAUACCAAAGUGCAUAUCAGCAGGAAAAACACAAAUCAGCACUGGCAUGUUCUUAAGAACUCUGACCCUUUUGGGUUUUGUACAUAAUAUUGUGGGAGACUAGGGGAAGCAUAUUUUCAGAAUUAGCACAGAUUAGCACAGUAGUAAUUUACGUCAGUACAUAGAAUUUCUGAGCAAGCACAGUGCAGAAUGGAGAAGAGAAUGGUGUGAGCAAGCCAUGUUUGGCUUGCGUGUAAGGAAAAUGGAAGCCAGAAUGAGCAUUGACUUUCUGGGAGCCAAGUGGACGAGCUUGAUUUCUGGGAACCAAUCACAAACUAUCCGAUCUUGCAUACCGUAUUAGCUGGUGACAGCACUGGGUACCUUCAUUUCUUAAUAGGCAAAAGCUUGACAAACCCUCUUAUUGCAAGUCAGAAUGAAGAUUUCUCAUUCUUAAUAUCGCAAGUAGGUCAUUAUAUUACGUAUUUACGUCAGUACAUCCAAUGCAGUUUUUCAGAAAUGACCAUGCAUUGGCUGUGAACUCGGAAAAUAGUAAGAAUUUUCUUUCCAAAUACAAGAAGUCGCAGGAAUGCAAAUUAAACAAUUACCUCAACUGACGGGUGACAGCACGCAUACAUUGCACCUACCAAAUACUACCUCCGUUCCAUAAUAUAAGAGUGUUUUUUACACUAUUGUAGUGUCAAAAACGCUCUUGUAUUAUGGGACGGAGGGAGUACAAUUCAUCUCGAGGACAACGACAUUGGUUUUAGUGAAUUCAUUGAAACAUGAAUGCAUCACAUGCUUUCUGCGGACGAGAGAAAACCCGGGGGCAAGUGGUUAUUUUCUUACCUUUUUUAAUGACACCUAUAAUUAACAUUGAGUUAACUGGGCAAUUCUCUUCUCCUUAAUUAAUCGAUGAGGCAAAUCUUUUGCCUCCGUUUCGAAAAAAUAAUAAUAAUUAACAUUGAGUACAGGAUCGGAUCUCAAAGAUAAGAAUAAUCGGCUGGCAGAUGAUUAUCUCUUCUGUAUGUGGACAAAUGAUAUAUACUUUUGUACUGAUAUGAUAAUUUACGUUAUUCAAUGAUGAAAGGUAUGUAUGAUUAUGAGAUACAACUUCGACGAGCUUAAUAGGUUCUGUUAUUUUGAGGCAGUGAAGACCAGAAUAAAGGACUGUAUGGAGUUCUUGUCCUUUAUUAACAAGGUCCGCUUAACAAACUAAAAUCAGAUGAAACCUAACUUUUUAAUCAUACAAUGGAGGCAGCAAAAAUAAAGAUAAAGAGCUUAACGAGAUCCGCUUAUAACUAACUAAAAAUCAGCUGAAACCUAACUUUUUAACCAUACAACGGAGGCAGCAAAAAUAAAUACAGAGAGCUAAAAAAAUAGUGACGUAUACAUUAGAAGAUAAAUUCCAGUGCCCUUUUAUUGAUCAUCACUGCCUAUGGCCAUAUAAUUUGCUAUUAGAUCAUCAUGAUAUUAAUAUAUUUAUGUCGGUACAUCCAAUGCAGUUUUUCAAAAGUGAAGAUACAUUGCCCGUGAACUCAGCAAAUAGGAGUGUUCUUUCCAGAUACAAGAAGUUGCAGCAAUGCAAGCUAAACAAUUACCUCCACUGCUGGGUGACCACAGGGAGGACCACAAUAUUGGUUUUCGUGAAUCUUGAAUGCAUCACAUGCUUCCUGCUGAAGAGAGAAGACCCGGUGGCAAGUGAUUAAUUUUUCUUGUCCUUUAUUAAUGACACCUCUAACUAACAUUGAAGGGGCAUGAUCGAGCUCAGAGAUUAGCAUAAUAAGCUGGCAGAUGACCAUCCCUUGCUCAUAUGGACAAAGGAUACACUUAAUAUACUGAUAUGAUAAAAACACAGCUUGACAAUCUCCUGUUAUUCGAAGAUGAAAGAUAUGUAUGAGUAUGCGAUACAAUUUGUGGGUUUUCUUUAUUUUUGAGACAUACAAUUUGGUGAGCUUAAUAUGUUCCGUUAUUGUGAGACAUUGAAAAGCGGAAUAAAGGGCCAUGUGGAAUUCUUUUUAUCAGAUUAACGAGAUCGUCUUCACUAACUAAAAUCAGAUGAAGCCUAACUUUGCAACCAUACAACGGAAGCAACAAAAAUACAGACAGAGACCUCGAACAACAGUGGCCAUAUGAAUGAGAUCUGGGACUCGGCCAUAUGAACAACAGUGAAGAUAAAUUCCAGUGUCCUUUUAUUGAUCGCUGCCUAUGCCCAUAUAAAUGAGAUCUGGGACUCAGCCCGCUCCAACAUGGCUCUAGAAAGCACAUUUCCUCUGACGCACAUAUGAAAUACGACAGUACAAAACAGAACAAACACUGAGAUUAUAAUUAUACAGAUGACUGGAUGCUGUAACUAACUUGGAUAUCGCUGCACCGAAGACGGACUUUCUUCUCAGACAUCAGAGAGAAACGGAAUGUCCAUGCCAACUGCUUCUCCUCGACUCCACCUGCACAGCGCGCAUAGGCGGAAAUUUGAUGAUUAUUUGAAGUGACAUACACAUAAAGCACAGAGUUACUCAGCUAACAAAGCACGUAUGUACAUCGCUGUCAGGCUGAAUCCUGCUUCCUGACAAUCGGAAUUCAUGUGAAUCGAAUCGCUGGAAGAGACGGACAGACAGGAUCGAUACCUUGUGUCCACGGCGAGGCCUGAGUGGCUGCCGUCGACGUACGACCCGCAACCGACGGAGGAGCUCCGGGACCUUCUUGUCGAGACCAUCUGCAAUGGAAGUAAAAAAGAGCUGUUAGAAGAGGAUCCGAAAGAGGUUGAUGGUAGGAAGGAAUGGGAAGGGGAACGAGUGGGUGCCUCGAGCGGCCGCGGUGGUGGUGGGCGGGCGGAUGCGGAGGGUGGGAGGGAGGCUGACACCUCCGCCGCCACAGACGUACGUGGAGCGGCCGCGGGCGGUGGGAUCCGGGAGAGGCUGCGGCGGCGAGCGGUCCGGCCGGCGAGGAGGACGGGGAAGGGAGAGACGAAGACGACGCAGAUCGGCGGAAUGUGGGCUGGGCUUGUGACUUUGAGGCCUCCGAAAACUAUAGCCCAGUUCGAAUUGGUGCCCUAACACACACAACACUUACGUUGGGCCUAAUCGCUCGCUCCUGCCCCUGCUCAAAAUUUUUUUUGCUCCAGGCUGGGGGCCUCUGUUCCACCCCCAUCUAUCGCUCCACCUCCAAACAAAAAAAAAAUCUAUCACUCCACCUCCACUCCAAAAAUAUAAAAUUCUAUCAAUCCACCUACGCCUCGAAAAAAGAAAUCUAUCACUCCACCUCAGCAUUGAUGUCUCUAGCUUGUAGAAACUGCCAUCCUUUACAUGUAAAACGGAUUCGAUGAGUCAUGUCAUGCUCUAUAGACGUCAGUUCAUCUUAUCAUCUUACAGGAAAGUACAAAGUUAGUUUUCUGAAAAGCAACCGAAUAUAGAAGAACACUCCACACUCAAGGCUUUACUAAUCGAGCAUAUCCUAACAGCCCACACAUGAUUGCAAACUUAGUCAUACACAAGUUUUGCCUUUCUUGUUUACGGCUGACAGCCUAUACAAGGUUCCAAACUCGGUUGUAAAAGUGAUACUAUCUUGAUAAGUGUGUGACAUGUAAAGUUAAUAAGGUGAGUCAUAUAUAGCAAAUAUCGGGGUUUCUGUACUUUGUGUGUGAUCGUAUGCACAACUAAAAAUCAACUUUGAUGAUCAAUAUAUCCAAAAGUACGCUUGUAGCUAGUGCAAACCUAACCCAAUGUAACAAAAUAAUUCAUUUCAGAUGGAGCCAAACAGAAUUAUUAAAGCUGAUGCAAAGAAGGAAAAGAGGUGGUUCCUGGGCUACUAUAAAUAGGCAUGAAGUAUAAAGAUCAUCACAAGCACAAGCAUCAGAACCAAGCAACACUAGUUAACACCAAUCCACCAUGAAGACCUUCCUCGUCUUUGCCCUCCUCGCCGUUGCGGCGACAAGUGCAAUUGCGCAGAUGGAGACUAGAUGCAUCCCUGGUUUGGAGAGACCAUGGCAGCAGCAACCAUUACCACCACAACAGACAUUUCCACAACAACCACUAUUUUCACAACAACAACAACAACAACUAUUUCCUCAACAACCAUCAUUUUCGCAGCAACAACCACCAUUUUGGCAGCAACAACCACCAUUUUCUCAGCAACAACCAAUUCUACCACAGCAACCACCAUUUUCGCAGCAACAACAACUAGUUCUACCGCAACAACCACCAUUUUCACAGCAACAACAACCAGUUUUACCUCCACAACAAUCACCUUUUCCACAACAACAACAACAACACCAACAGCUGGUGCAACAACAAAUCCCUGUUGUUCAGCCAUCCAUUUUGCAGCAGCUAAACCCAUGCAAGGUAUUCCUCCAGCAGCAGUGCAGCCCUGUGGCAAUGCCACAACGUCUUGCUAGGUCGCAAAUGUUGCAGCAGAGCAGUUGCCAUGUGAUGCAACAACAAUGUUGCCAGCAGUUGCCGCAAAUCCCCCAGCAAUCCCGCUAUGAGGCAAUCCGUGCUAUCAUCUACUCCAUCAUCCUGCAAGAACAACAACAGGUUCAGGGUUCCAUCCAAUCUCAGCAGCAGCAACCCCAACAGUUGGGCCAAUGUGUUUCCCAACCCCAACAGCAGUCGCAGCAGCAACUCGGGCAACAACCUCAACAACAACAAUUGGCACAGGGUACCUUUUUGCAGCCACACCAGAUAGCUCAGCUUGAGGUGAUGACUUCCAUUGCGCUCCGUAUCCUGCCAACGAUGUGCAGUGUUAAUGUGCCGUUGUACAGAACCACCACUAGUGUGCCAUUCGGCGUUGGCACCGGAGUUGGUGCCUACUGAUAAGGAAAGAUCUCUAGUAAUAUAUAAUUGGGUCACCGUUGUUUAGUCGAUGGAUAUGUCGAUGCAGCGGUGACAAAUAAAGUGUCACACAAUGUCAUGUGUGACCCGCCCAAACUAGUUGUUUAAAUUCUGAAAUAAAAUAAAAAUAAAGUUGUAUCAAGACAAUGUUCAUAUUGGCAUUGUGUGGAUGUCAAUCUGAUUGCCAUGCUUGCAAGUUCAUAAGUUUGUCUUUCCUUGUCACAAGCGCAACCUGGUGCCUUAAUUAAUUAUCAAUGUACUGGAAUAAUCACUAUUUAAAUAUAAUAGUGUCACUGUAAAAUUUGGGUUGAACUCUUUAUUGGUUGGAGAUUUGAGAUCUUGUUUUUUAUUGGUUUGUAUCUAGUACCAACUAGUACCACUGUCUACAGUGACAAUCACAACCAGUUUUGUUGCUAAUUAUGUUUGCUUUCUUGCAAAUACAUUCAUUGAUUCUUUGCAUGUCAAAUUAUUUGCCGAGAAAAAUACCAGCUUUUUCUUGAACUUCACAAACACCACUAGCUAGUUAAUUUGAAAUAAGCUGCCAAUUUAUUUCCUUGUAUUUAUGCCCUUUACAUCGAACCAGUACAAUCAUUGUGCUAGCUAGAGAAAAGGAGUUGCUGGCACGUUCAUGUCUAGAACUAAAUCAGACUGAAUUGAACUUGUUCUUUACAACUAGCUAGGAGCAGAAAACUUACUGUGAAUUGCACUUGAUUAUAUUUGAUUUUGUUUAAGAGCUACAGGGAAAAAUCAUCAAAAAAUGCCCUAAAAUAUCUUAUCGUAAAAUAGGUUCACCAGGAGAUACAGUCGCAAGAAAAAAAAGGCUCACCAGGAGAUAGAUGCUGCACAUUAUCAUUUAGAAAUUAGACCAAGAGAAAUGUGGAUUUGGCGGCUCAUAAUUCUAUAAGACUAUAACAGGUUGUCCAAUCAUUUAGAAAUUAGAUCAAGAAAAUGUGGAACUAAACAUAUUAAUGGCUAGGAUCAUAUUUGCACUGUGGGAACUUGGUAUGCGCGCUCCAACAUGCCCGUUGAAAGCAUUUUUUCCUCUGAUGCACAUAUGAAAUAUGACUGGUCGAAAACAGAAGAAACAGUGAGAUAAUAUGGAUGCUUGGAUGUUGUAACAAACAUAAACUUAUUAUAUAUAUAUCCAAUCCACCGAGCGGACGAACAUCCUAGGAGCUUUUCUCUCGGAGAUCGAAAAGAAACGAAAUGUCCACGCCAACUGCUUCUUCUCCAUCUGUAUAACGCGUGUAGGAGAAUUAUUUUGAUGAUUAUUUGAAGUGGCAUCCACAUAGAGUACAAAGCUAUUCAGCUAGAAAAGCCACAAAUGUACAUCACUUUUAGCCUACAUGACUGAACUCUGCUCCAUGACCUUCUUGAUUCAUGCGGCUCCUGAAUUCAUGUGAAUCGAAUCGCGGAAGAGAUAGGCUUUCAGGGUCAAUACCUCAUGUUCAUGGGAAGGCCGGAGAGGCUGCGUCGAUGUGCAGCCUGAACCCGAGGAGGAGCUCCGUGUCGGUGUCAAAACCGGCGGAUCUCGGGUAGGGGUCCCGAAUUGUGCGUCUAGGAUCGAUGGUAACAGGAGACGGGGGACACGAUGUUUACCCAGGUUCGGGCCCUCUCUAUGGAGGUAAUACCCUACUUCCUGCUUGAUUGAUCUUGAUGAAUAUGGGUGUUACAAGAGUUGAUCUACCAUGAGAUCGUAAUGGCUAAACCCUAGAAGUCUAGCCUAUGUGUAUACGGUAAUGAAUGUCCCCUAUCCGGACUAUGCUCUCCGGUUUAUAUAAACACCGGAGAGAUCUAGGGUUACAUGGAGUCGGUUACAUAAGAAGGAAUCUUCACAGCUGGUCACCUAGCUUGCGUUCCACGCCAAGGGAAGUCCAAUCCGUACACGGGUGUAGUCUUCGGCCUUCGUAUCUUCACAGCCCAUCAGUCCGGCCCAAUGAAUAAUAGGCCGGACGCCCGAGGACCCCUUAGUCCAGGACUCCCUCAGUAGCCCCUGAACCUGGCUUCAAUGACGAGGAGUCUGGCGCGCAGAUUGUCUUCGGCAUUGCAAGGUGGGUUCCCUCCUUCCGAAUUCCGGAAUAGUCUUCGGAUGCAGUAGAUAUAUUUGGACCUGUGUAUAUAAUUGCAAAAAAUACAAUAUUCCACGAGUCUAAUUUGUUGAUAACUGUUUACAACAUCGCAUCACGCCUGCCCGGUUACUAUUUCCAACCGUUGGCUGGCACGUCGCCCCACGUCUCGGGACGCGGUUUUACUGGCACGUCUUGCCAAGGCAGAGAUCGUGUUCCCUUAUUCACGGGACUUUCAUUAAUGCAAGCGUGGGUAACCCAACCGUCCCCUGGGUACAACUCUCUGGGGAUAGGUAAGUUUCGAGACCCAGGUGGAUACCCUUAGUAUUUGGGGUCUUUAUAUAGGGCCCCAGACUCGUCUUCUUCCUUUGCGCUUGCUUCUUCCUCAACCCUAGCCACCCCAAGUUCCAACCCUCGGGUUCCCAUCGCCACCAGCCCUAAUCAUGUCCGAAUCCAGCCGUCAAGGCCGGUGGGUGGCUUCUUCUAUCACAGAGGAGGAUAUUGCAAAGCUCUGCGCAGUGAGGUAUCUGACCCCGGAAAUCCUUCAUCAGCUUCCUGCACAGGGGCAGGUCGUUCCUACCCCCAAAUCCGGCGAGAGGGUAGUGUUUGUGUCCCACUUCCUCCAUGGGUUAGGUUUCGCGCUUAACCCCUUCGUCCGGGGGCUCAUGUUCUACUAUGGGCUAGACUUUCACGAUCUAGCCCCGGACUCUAUUCUUCUCAUCUCGACAUUUAUCGUCACGUGUGAGGCCUUCCUUCGGACUCCUCCGCACUUUGGUUUGUGGCUCAAGACCUUUGAUGUGAGGCCGCAGGUGACAGAGGAGGAGCAGGCAGAGUGUGGCAGCGUCACAAUAGGCAAGCUUGCCAGCGCGGUUUGGUUUGAAGGAUCUUUCACCAAGUCUUCCGACCUAUGGCAGCACGGGUGGUUUUAUAUCAACGAGCCGCGGGGCUCCAAGUGGGAGGCUACGCCUGCGUUCCGACCCGGCCCUCCAAUUCAGCUCGCUUCAUGGAUCAAUAAGGGACUGGACUGGGGAUCCGUCAAUGAAAUGCAGACUCUGCAAGGUCGCAUCCGAAGCCUUACCAAGAAGGGCAUCGGUCUUGUGAACGUCGUUCAAGUAAUGCUAGUCCGCCGGACCCUGCCAUGUCAGCGGCGGCCUCUCCGUAUGUGGGAGUUUAAUUCAGAAGGGCAGCGGCCUCUUCAGCACUUCUUCGGCACCACGCACGAAGGAAUGUGGAAAUUAUAUUUCGGGGAACGAGAGCAAUGGCCGGACACCACCGAAGAUGUCGGCCUUGACUGCAAUCAUCCAGACACCGCGGUAAGUACUCAAACGCUGAACACAUUCAAGCAUCUCUUGACAACAUACUGAACAAUCCGUCCCUAUACAGGACUGGAUAAAGAAAGCAGUGUUAAUCUGGUGUCCGGCGCCCCUUCCCGAAGACUCUGCGACCGCCCUGCUGACGAGAAUGCUGAUUCCCACACCGUACCAGGUUUCUGCGGAGGAGGGCGAGAGCGGGGAACCCGAAGGUGAUACCCGCCCUGAGGACGAAUUAGACAUUGUGUUCGGGGAAACCGAAACUCUUUUGCCCAAGGGCAAAGGUGCGGAGGAAGCUCUCCAUGGCAAAAAGAGGGCUGCUUCCGAAGAUCAGGAGGGGAAGCCUUCCAAGAGAGGAAAAAUGCCAUCGUCGGGCAGUUUGGGCCGGCCAAGCGAUGCUGCCGUAAGGCUUUCUGGCGAGGACGAACCUCUGGCCAAACCGUAAGUGAGGCUGGGGCACUUUAAACAUACCUCAUUCUUUUCCUAUUAGUGAAGUAAUCAUCCGACAUAUGCACAUCCACGUAGGUUAACGCCUGGUGUUUCUCAAUCAUCCUCCUCCUCGGGAGACCUUCUUCCGGAGAUGAUGGAGAGUGACACGCCAUCUCCGGCUUCUUCGCGCAACAGGGGGGAUGAUACCGAGGUAUCGUCCCGAAGGGCUCCUCCCCAUCGUCAAGCGGUGCAGGAAACGGAGAAGGCGUUACCCGAAGGUGGUGCCUCUGUCACCCAGGGUUCGGGAAUCAAGAAUGACGGCCCCGAACCAUCCGGUUUACAGCCGGAGAUGAUUCUGGGGGAGAAUAAGCAGAUUAAUUCAAAGGAAUGCCGUACUCCGGCGGCGGUUUCCGAAGACCCCGGAGCGCCGGAAAUGUUGACGGACAUGCUGCGGCGAGCGUCCAUUUCAGAGAAGCACCAUGCCUUGAUGGUUACGGUGGUCGAAAAGGUUCUAUCCGCGAAAAGCGGAUUGAACGAGGCCUUCUGGAGCCUUCUAAGAGGUUUUGAGGUUUGUGAUGUAGUUUUGCCAAUUGAAUGAUUUUGACAGAAUGCACUUGUUGUAUAUGCAGUAGCCCCUGAGACUCGGAUUGCCUUCCGAAGGAAGCGAUCGGAGGAUAAAAAAGAUAUGCUCAGUUACUAACCUUGAAUCAACUUGGAAUACAGGCUGCCUCGCCUCCUGCGGCUACCCGAAAUACGGAAGUGGCCGAACUGCAGCGAAAGCUGAAUAUUGCAGAAGAUGACAUUGCAUUGAUCAACAAGCGUCUUGACGACUCGCAAGGUAUAUAGUUCGAGCAUUCCUUACACGAAUGUUCUUGUAAUGUAGGCCUGACGCCGAAAAGGGUUUAAUGUGCAUGAUUGCAGAUGGUGUUCCCUCCGUUGAAGCUCCUUGUGAGGAGCUAGCCCGGCCCAAGGAGCAGGCCCGGUGUAGUGAUGCGGCUGCCGAGAAGGCAUCGGCUGAUCUAAGAGCCGAAUAAGCAGCUCGGCGCCGAAGUGAGGAGAAAAUAUCCGCACUGGCGCUUGAAUUGAAGAAUACUGCCAGCCACUGUGAAUUCCUUGAGAAGGAGAAUAAAGCCAAAAUGGCUGAACUUGAUAAGGCCGUUCGAGAGGCGAGUGAAGCUCGGUCUGAAUCUAGGGCAGCUUGGGAAGAGAUUCGGCAGGCUAAGGAGAUAGCGGCCGGUAAGCCCUUUUUGCUUCAGACUAAGUUUGGCGAUCCGGACUAUGCUCAGCUAAACCAGGUCUGGAGUUCUCCGACUGAAUUUUUGGACUUGCCGAAGAGUUCUUCCAAUGCAGCGCAAUUUUACCAAGCGCAAGAGGGGUAUGCGAUGGAGAAGCUUUUCUGGUCACAAUUUGGCGCCUCAAAGCGCCCUCUGUUGCUAAAUGAACAGAUGUCCCAGUGGGCCGAGCUUCAUAGGAUAUCCGGCGACGCCAUGAAGAACGUCAUAAUCCGGUUGUGGCCGAGUGAGCCUGUUCCCAAGAGCUAUUUUGGCCUGGUGCGGCGUCUUGUUGAUGCUGUGCCGCGUAUCGAUGCUGCGAAGCGGUCGGCAUGCACUGAGGGUGCACGGAUGGCCUUUGCCCGAGUCAAGACGUUCUGGGGGAAGAUGAAGGCCAUCGAUGUUGCGGCGAAGGGUCCGCCCAAGGGCAAGGACCGUAAUGAGCCGGAGCAUUAUUUUGAAGACGUCCUAGAAGCCGCCCGCCUGAUAGAGGGUCAAUGCUCGAAGAACAUAAUGUUCGAGUGAGGUGUAUUAGAAUUGUAAAAGACAAUUUUAUGAUUGAUCUAUUUUAUAUUUUUGCUCCAAAGCUUGAAUUCCUCCUCUGCGGCCGUUUUAAUAUAAUAUGAAAGUUUUCCAGUCGUCGGCUUCAGCCCCCUCGUAGGAAGUACGGGGGUGUUCGAAAAAACAUUUAAUCACUCUUUGUCCAAUGUCUUGGUCCGUAAAGGAGGUGAUAAUGCAGCGAACCAGGCAAUCGGACUAUAAGGCGUUAACACUUUCACUUAGCCAUAGGAGUUUUAUGGUGGGGCUACGACAUUGCCCCUGGUGUGUAUGCGGCGUAUAAUGCCUUGCAUAUUUGAUCUGAAAAAGAUCCCUCGUAUGACACGGAGAAUCGCUAAGGAUUCCAAGAAGUCGUCAAGUGGUUAAUCAGCUCUCGCCGCAUCAUGACAGUCAGUUUUCGGCUUUCUCUACUGAGGUGCUCGUCCGGUUUAGAACAGGGCACAAUCGCAGUAGUUCUCCCUUUACUACCCUAGCCGAUAGAGCGGAACGUAGGGUAGCAAGCACAGGAGCCGGGCAACCCAACUAUUGACCCAAGACAAUGAUUCGGAGCUGAUGCAUAUAAGGCCAAACUUGCGACGCCCAAGUACGCUAUAGAGUUGUUGGGACUUUUGCUGGCAACUCUUUCGUUCCCAUACCGAGCCCCUGGCAGGGUAUGCCGAGGUGUAUCUGUAACGCAGCCAUUGAGGCCGUACUCAUUGUUGCAAGAGUAUGAAAGAUUAGUUCGGACGAGGUUUACUGGGAACGGAGCAAUAUGCCAAUGACGAAUUUAAAAAUAAUAAAAAAGAAACCACAAGCCCGGCUAUUUGACAUGCUCGGGGUCGGGUACAGAGGAAAAAAAGGCUUAAUACAGGCUCGGAAUAAAGAGUGUGGUCUACAAAAAGUUAUUUUGGACCUCCUGUCGCACGUCUGCGCCGCCCGUCCUCGGGGAGGGGAAUCCUUAAGGGAAGUAGCCCCUUAGGUGAGUGUACGGAUCCGAACUCCGAUAGAGUCCGUUGUAGAUGCUGUCAUGUUGGUCACCUGUUCUUAAGAAAUGAUACAGAAAAAUAAGAAAAACGGAUAAGAACGUUACAGGGAUUCUUGCAGGCUUGUCCAUAUUGUGCUUCCGCCGAUGCCCAUGGUAUCUUGAGUGCGUAGUGAUGUAUGCGUGGUGUGAAUCUCGCCGGUAUGGUAGGUGGGUGGCGGAUGCCGAACUGCUAUUUCUGUUCCGAGAGUGGUCGAACUUCGGAGGGAAACUGCUUCUGGCCCCUGAUAUUCGGCUGGCGAAACGCUCCGUUGUCUUUAUCGCCUGGUGGCCUCCUCCCCUUGCUAUCGGCGUUGAGCUUGCCUGCCUGCUUGAGGACCCAACAAUUUCUGUUAGUAUGGUUAGCUGGCUUAUCAGGAUGACCAUGAAUCUGACAAGGUCGGUCCAAUAUUCUGUCAAGGGUGGAUGAUCCAUCCUGGUUUGCCUUUAGUGGCUUCUUCCAUUGACCGGGUUUCGAAUUGUGAAAUUCGGCGUUGACCGCUGUGUCGCGUAAUCCUUCAGUAUUAUUGCGACUGUUGUGUUCGGUUCGUCGAGGCUUACCGUUGCCGUCUUGAAUUUCGGAAGUGCCCGGGUCACUGGCGUUGUUGCUCUUACGAGCGAGCCAGGUGUCUUCUCCCGCACAAAAGCGAGUCAUCAGAGCGGUAAGGGCUAUCAUGGAUUUGGGUCCUUCCUGGCCGAGGUGACGCGCUAGCCAUUCAUCCCGGAUGCCAUGUUUGAAGGCUGCGAGGGCUUCUGCGUCCGGACAGUCGACAAUAUGUUUUUUUUUUUGACUAAGAACCUAGUCCAGAGCUCCCUGGCGGACUCGCCGGGCUUCUGGACAAUAUGACCAAAGUCAUCAGCAUCUAGUGGCCGGACAUAUGUUCCCUGGAAGUUGUCUCGAAAGGCGUCUUCCAAGUCUUCCCAGCUACCAAUAGAAUUUUCUGGUAAACUGUUUAGCCAGUACCGGGCUAGCCCUUUAAGCUUGAGAGGUAUGUAUUUAAUGGCAUGAAGGUCGUCUCCGCGAGCCAUGUGGAUAUAUAUGGAGGAGGUAAUCCUCAAUCCAUACCGCGGGAUCUGUUGUUCCAUCGUAUGAUUCGAUAUUAAUGGGUUUAAACCCGUCUGGAAAUUCAUGCUCCAUUACCUCGUCGGUGAAGCAAAGAGGGUGUGCGGCUCCUCUAUGUUGAGCCACACUAUGAAGCACCUCCGGCGGACUCUGUUUACGGAGUUCGGAUCGAGCGUGGUCGGCUCUGUUGUGUCCGAAUAGGUGACCAUCAUUACGGUCGGGGCAUGUCCCCGCGAUCUGUGUAUUGACUUCGUGUGUCAUGUUCUACCCUCCAGGUCCUUGGAUGUCGCGAGUGUUCCCCCGAGCUGUGUUGUUCUUGUUUUGAUGGCCGGAUGGGUUGGUAUGAUGCUCUGCUUGGGCUACUGCUUUGUCCGGACCGAACUGUGGUCGGCCUACAUCCUUAUUCGAUGGUGGUGUGGGCUUCAACGCCCUGCCAUCGUAUUGAGGGGGCCACCUGCUGUUGGGGUGGCUCUUGUCUGGGCCAAUAAGGCCGUAUUGUUCGGCGGCCAAGACCUCGGUCCAUCUAUCAUUGAGCAAAUCUUGGCUCGCUUUAAGCUGCAGCUGCUUCUUUCUUAGGCUCCUUGCAGUGGCUAUGAGCUGGCGUUUAAAGUGCUCCUGCUCGAGAGGUUCCUUAGGCACGAUAAAAUCCUUGUUGUCGAGGAUCUCCUCUUCCUCGGAGAGUGGGAGAUAAUUGCUAUCCUCUGAGUCUCCAUAUGUUACCUGUUCAUCAGGGUUGUCUUGCCCGCCUUCCUGUUCCUCCUGUUCGGAUCCUACCUCAACAGGGUCUUCAUCGUCCGGAGUGUUGUCUUCUCCGGUGCAAGUGUUAUUUUCUCUUGAGCGUCGUGACUUGGAGCGGCGCAAGGCGCGCCGGUGUUCGGACUAUGCACCAGGAGGCUUAUCCUCAAUUGGAUCCUCCUUGUCAUCGUCGAAAGCAUCGUUGGGUGUGUCUAUCAUACACACGUCAUACCAUGAAGUGGUCAUCCCGCGUCUAGCGGGUAGUGAGUUCUGGCCUUGCCCCUCAUCGUCGUCCGUACCGUCGAUGUCUUCAGGGCCGAGGUCAAGCGUGUUGGUUGGGUCUUCGACAGUGGCUAUGAAGUGGGUGGUGGGUGGGAAGCAAAAUUCUCCAUCAUCAGCCGUAAGUUCGAGCCGAACAUAGUUCAGUGGCGAGUCGCCUACCAGAGAUAGGUUUUUUAGUGAGUUUAGUACAUCGCCCAUGGGCGAGUGUUGGAAGACGUCUGCGGCGCUGAACUUGAAGAUCGAUAACCGAUCGAGUUCGGCAUCUGCAGACUCGCAAGGUUCGGAACCUGUCGCCGGGGACGAAUCCGGGGUUCCGCUGAUGCGGAUAUCAUACGCAGUAGAAUCUGUGUGCGGCUCGAACGCCGCCGAAUCGGUAGCCCUCGUGAUGGGGUUGAGCUUCCCAUCCCGGGACGACUUGAUCUGCUCCGGAUCUAAGGCCAGAGUUGCUGUAGGAGCUAUCUCCUCGAUGCGGCCCAAUGACAGGUUUAAGCCAUGUCCAUCGAGGCGGCGGGAGCGAUUGCCGCGGUCUUGAAUCCGUCGAAGAUCAAGUCUCCACGGACGUCCCCAACGUAGUUCAAGCUUCCGAAUCUGACCUGAUGGCCAGGGGCGUAGCUGUCGAUCUGCUCCAGAUGGCCAAGCGAGUUGGCCCGCAGUACGAUGCCACCGAACACGAAGAUCUGUCCGGGGAAAAAGGUUUCUCCCUGGACAACGUCACCAUCGACGAUUGAAGGGGCCAUCGAACCUUUUGUCGACGGCACAGUGGAACUCUCAAUGAAAGCACCAAUGUCGGUGUCAAAACCGGCGGAUCUCGGGUAGGGGGUCCCGAACUGUGCUUCUAGGAUCGAUGGUAACAGGAGACGGGGGACACGAUGUUUACCCAGGUUCCGGCCCUCUCUAUGGAGGUAAUACCCUACUUCCUGCUCUAUUGAUCUUGAUGAAUAUGAGUGUUACAAGAGUUGAUCUACCACGAGAUCGUAAUGGCUAAACCCUAGAAGUCUAGCCUAUGUGUAUAUGGUAAUGAAUGUCCCCUAUCCGGACUAUGCUCUCCGGUUUAUAUAGACACCGGAGAGAUCUAGAGUUACAUGGAGUCGGUUACAUAAGAAGGAAUCUUCACAGCUGGUCGCCUAGCUUGCCUUCCACGCCAAGGAAAGUCCAAUCCGGACACGGGUGUAGUCUUCGGCCUUCGUAUCUUCACAGCCCAUCAGUCCGGCCCAAUGAAUAACAGGCCGGACGCCCGAGGACCCCUUAGUCCAGGACUCCCUCACUCGGAGACCUUCUUGUGGGGACCAUCUACGAGAGGAAGUAAAGAGGGAGAUCAGAAGAGGAUACAUGAGAGGUUAGGGUGGGGAGGAGGCUGCGCCGGCGAGCGGCCACGGCUCAAGGCGGUCCGGCCGACGAGGAGGACGAACAAGGGAGAGGAAGAUGCAGAUCGGCAAACUGUGGGUUGGGCUUAUGACGUUGGGUUCUCACAAAACUAUAGCCCAUUUCGAAUUUGGUGCCCGUGACGACACACACACAACGCUUAUGUUGGGCCUAAUCACUCACUUCCAGCCCCCAACUCUGAUUUCCCCCUCAAAGAAAAACAAAACUUCAACCCUUCUCACUCCCCAUGAUCACAACAACAACAACAGAAAUAUCUAUAUGCAAGAUCAGGAAAUAUCUAUAAGGGGCAUUCAGAACACAUGUGACCUAAUCGCUAUAACAGCUUGAUAUUAUGGUGGGAUAGACAUAAACUGGUUCACGAAGGAAAGUUUCAUGAUGCAAACCAAAAUUCAAGGGGAGCACGUGCUAUAAUGGCAAACUAUGUUAAUGCCUACUCCCCUAAAGCAACUAGUAAAACAGGGGGAUGGAGUAUCCCUUCUAGGGUUUUUGUGAAGCUGAAUAUUGAUGUAUCUUUUCAUCAUGGUCUGCUUCAGGGUACAUCGGGGGUUAUUCUUAGACAUUACAAAGGCAGGCUCAUUGUCGGUGGAAACUGGAGGAUAGAUUGUCGUGCGGAUGUAUUAGCAGCAGAAGUUGUGGUGCUAAAGUUUGGGUUAUUCCUUGCACAGAAGGCGGAUUGCAAUCGUCUUGUUGUUAACUCGUACAGUACAUAAGUGAUUGACACAAUAAAGAAUGGAUGACACUCGACCGGAGCGGCGGUUGUAGUUUUCUAUGAUUGUUAAUUUUUGGGCUUGUGAUUUUUCUUUUAUUAGAUUUGAACUUUGUAAUAGGGAAGUAAAUAAGAUGGCAAAUGAAAUUGCUAGGCCAGCGAAAUUUUUUGUCACUAGUGAUUGGUUUGAGGAGUGAAUGAGAUUGUGCCUUUUUUAUUGACAAUGUAACAGUUGUUUCUAAUAAAUAAAGUUGAAGUUUUAUUGAAAAGGACAACAACAAGAAAAAAUAUCCUCAUCUUGUCCCAAGGGAUCUGAAACCCCAGUAUCCUUGCAUCUUUCUUUUGCAUGGCAUGUACAUAAGAUUUUCUUUGUUAGUAGCAUGUGUUGUUGGCGGUGGCGGCAUGAUGUUAGAGGUGACAUGUGUGGACGGAUGAUUGUUUCGACUCCAUUUAUUCUUAGGGCCUGUACAAUGCUAGGUGUUCAGCGAAGUGCUUAGAAAAAUAAACUGAGUUUUUAAAGCAUUUUUUAAGCACCGAUGUCUAUUUCUAAUGAUGAGAGACACCUAAUUAGACGUUUACCCUAUACAAAUAAACGUCGAUGCUUUAAGAAAUACUGAUUUAUUUAUCUAACAACCUUUCUUACGCACCUUACAUGGUAAGGUUCGAGAGCUAGUGGCGUCUUGGUUUCUCUUGUUUCUGUCACAUCAAUAUCAUGCUUUGGAUAUAUUCCAGUGCCCUUUUAUUGAUCACUGCCUAUGGCCAUUGAAAUGAGAUCUGGGACUCGGCCAGCUGCAAGAUACCUCUAGAAAGCGAAUUUCCUCUGACGCACAUAUGAAAUAUGACAGUACAAAAUAGAACAAACACUAAGAUUAGACAGAUGAUUGGAUGAUGUAACUAACUUAGACAUCGCUGCACCCAGGACGGACUUUCUUCUCAGACAUCAGAGAGAAACUGAGUGUCCAUGCUGUCAGAGACGCUGGCCAUUGGGCGUUGUCAGUGACUUUAGUCUCGCCUCGGAUAUGGGAGGGGCUAGAACCACCUUAUAAGGAGGAGUGCCACACUCCCUUCAGGCUAGUCUUUUGCGAUGUGGUGGACUCUUUGCUUAUAGUGGUGUGUCUGAUGCACACCGGAAACGUCCGAACAUAUGCCGAAGGUUGGGAGCCGGGCCUGGGACGCUAACAAUUGGUAUCAUAGCUGGGCCCCAGUCUGCCCUGUUUUAGGGGGAUGAGGUGUCAGAGACGCUGGCCAUUGGGCGUUGCCAGUGACUUUAGUCCCACCUCGAAUAUGGGAGGGGGCUAGGACCACCUUAUAAGGAGGAGUGCCACACUUCCUUCAGGCUAGUCUUUUGGGAUGUGAUGGACUCUUUGCUUAUAGUGGUGUGUCCGAUGCGCACCGAAAAUGUUCGAACAUAUGCCAGAGGUUGGGAGCUGGGCCUGGAACGCUAACACAUGCCAACUGCUUCUCCUCCACUCCACCUGCAUAGCACGCAUAGGAGGAAAUUUGAUGAUUAUUUGAAGUGAUAUCCACAUAAAGCACAGAGUUACUCAGCUAGCAAAGCACCUAUGUACAUCACUGUAUGGCUACCCAACUGAAAAUUCUGCUUCCUGACCCUCCUGAUUCAUGCGGGUGGCAUGGAGAUGGGUACGCCUCUCGAAUCCAUGUGAAUCGAAUCGUUGGAACAGAUGGACGGACAGGGUCGAUACCUUGUGUAGAUGGGGAGGGGAGGCCGGAGUGGCUGCCGUCGACCGACGUACGGCCCGCAGCCGACGGAGGAGCUUCAAAAGUGACCUUUUUGUCGAGCGAUGGCGGUGGUGGUGGGGUGCCGGAUGCGGAGGGUGGUGGGAAGCCGGAUGCGGAGGGUGGAAGGAAGGCUGACGCCUCCGUCGCCGCGGACGUACGAGGAGCGGCCGCGAGCGGUGGGGUCCGGGAGAGGCUGCGCCGGCGAGCGGUCCGGCCGGCGAGGAGGACGGGGAAGGGGAGACGAAGACGACGCAGAUCGGCGGAGUGUGGGCUGGGCUUGUGACGUUGGGGCCUCCGAAAACUAUAUCCCAGUUCGAAUUUGGUGCCCUAACACACAACUCUUACGUUGGGCCUAAUCACUCCCUCCUGGCUCCAUCUAUCAUUCCCCAAAAAAAAUCCUUCACACAUAGAUGGAACUGAUGAUUCUCAAAAGAAAAAGAGAUGGAACUGAUUGUGUCAUGUCUUAAAAAAAAGAUCGAACUGAUUGUCUAAAAAAAACAUAGAUGGAACUGAUGAUUUAUCUCCGAAAAAAAGAUGGAACUGAUGAUGACGUGUCUAGAGUUAGGACCGGAUAUAUGUUAGUAGGAGUAGCUUGUAAGAAAUUACCAUCCUUUACAUAUAACGGGAAUUCGAUGAGUCAUGUCAUGCUCUAGAGGCGUCAGUUCAUCUUAUCAUCUUAGAGGAAACUACAAAGUUAUUUUUAUGAAAAGCAACCAACUCUAGAAGAACCCUCCACACGCAAGGCUUUAAUAAUCGAGCAUAUCUUAACAGCCCACACACGAUUGCAAACUUAGUCCUACACAAGCUUUGCCUUUCUUCUUUACGGCUGACAGCCUAUACAAGGUUUCAAACUCGGUUGCAAAAGUGAUACUAUCCUGAUAAGUGUGUGACAUGUAAAGUGAAUAAGGUGAGUCAUAUAUAGCAAACAUCGGGGUUUCUGUACUUUGUGUGUGAUCAUAUGCACAAUUAAAAAGCAACUUUGAUGAUCAAUCCAAAAGUACGCGUGUAGCUAGUGCAACCUAACGCAUUGUACCAAAAAUCAUUUCAGAUGCAUCCAAACGGAAUAAUUAAAGCUAAUGCAAAGAAGAAAAGAGGUGGUGCCCAGGCUACUAUAAAUAGGCAUGAAGUAUAAAGAUCAUCACAAGCACAAGCAUCAAAACCAAGCAACACUAGUUAACACUAAUCCACCAUGAAGACCUUCCUCAUCUUUGCCCUCCUCGCCGUUGCGGCAACAAGUGCCAUUGCACAAAUGGAGAAUAGCCACAUCCCUGGUUUGGAGAAACCAUCGCAGCAACAACCAUUACCACUGCAACAAACAUUAUCGCACCAACAACAACAACAACCUGUCCAACAACAACCACAACCAUUUCCACAACAGCAACCAUGUUCACAGCAACAACAACCACCAUUAUCGCAGCAACAACAACCACCAUUUUCACAACAACAACCACCAUUUUCGCAGCAACAACAACCAUCAUUUUCGCAGCAACAACAACCACCAUUUUCACAGCAACAACCACCAUUUUCGCAGCAACAACAACCAGUUCUACCGCAACAACCAUCAUUUUCGCAGCAACAACUACCACCAUUUUCACAGCAACAACCACCGUUUUCGCAACAACAACAACCAGUACUACCGCAACAACCACCAUUUUCGCAACAACAACAACCAAUUCUACCGCAACAACCACCAUUUUCGCAACAACAACAACAACCAGUUCUACCGCAACAACAAAUACUAUUUGUUCAUCCAUCUAUCUUGCAGCAGCUAAACCCAUGCAAGGUAUUCCUCCAGCAGCAAUGCAGCCCUGUGGCAAUGCCACAAAGUCUUGCUAGGUCGCAAAUGUUGCAGCAGAGCAGUUGCCAUGUGAUGCAACAACAAUGUUGCCAGCAGUUGCUGCAAAUCCCCCAGCAAUCCCGCUAUGAGGCAAUCCGUGCUAUCAUCUACUCCAUCAUCCUGCAAGAACAACAACAGGUUCAGGGUUCCAUCCAAACUCAGCAGCAGCAACCCCAAGAGUUGGGCCAAUGUGUUUCCCAACCCCAACAGCAGUCGCAGCAGCAACUCGGGCAACAACCUCAACAACAACAAUUGGCACAGGGUACCUUUUUGCAGCCACACCAGAUAGCUCAGCUUGAGGUGAUGACUUCCAUUGCGCUCCGUACCCUACCAACGAUGUGCCGUGUCAAUGUGCCGUUGUAUAGAACCACCACUAGUGUGCCAUUCGGCGUUGGCGCCGGAGUUGGUGCCUACUGAUAAGGAAAGGUCUCUAGUAAUAUAUAGUUGGAUCACCGUUGUUUAGUCGAUGGAUAUGUCGAUGCAGCGGUGACAAAUAAAGUGUCACACAACGUCGUGUGUGACCCGCCCAAACUAGUUGUUUAAAUUCUGAAAUAAAAUACAAAUAAAGUUGUAUCAAGACAAUGUUCAUAUUGGCAUUGUGUGGAUGUCCAUAUGAUUGCCAUGCUUGCAAGUUCAUAAGUUUGUCUUUCCUGGUCACAAGCGCAACCUGGUGCCUUAAUUAAUUAUGCAUGUAUUGGAAUAAUUACUAUUUAAAUAUAAUAGUGUUACUGUAAAAUUUGGGUUGAACUCUUUAUCGGUUGGAGAUUUGAGAUCUUGUUUUUUAUUGGUUUGUAUCUAGUUCCAACUACUACCAUUGUCUAUAGUGACAAUCACAACCAGUUUUAUCGUUAAUCAUGUUUGCUUUCU